AUUUAUUACCUUUUUGUCCUGGAUAUAGGUGAAAAUUUGGAGCUGGACACACAACACUGUAUUAAUAAAAAGAAAUCUGCUGGCAACCGAAUUACUGGCCUGCAGGUUAAUUGUUAAUUUUGUCUUUCUUUUUAAUAAAUAAUUUAAGGUGCGGCAUCUUGGAAUUCUUUAAUAUUGUUUGAAGCGAUAUGACACCUUAUUCAGAUUUGGAUUUUUCUGUAACAUUCAACAUUUCAAUUAUUGCAGUUCGCAUCAGAUGAUUCUGAGAGAGUAAUGAUCACAUCCGCUGACUCGAAGAUUCGACUAUUUGAUGGGGUCAAUGUCAUAAAAAAAUUCAAAGGUGGAGUGCAUUAUAAUUACCACUUCUUCAAAGUUUUCUGGUGGCUUAUAAAAAUUUAUUUUACUCACCGAGAGAUCUUCUAUAGUGUUUUAUAAAAAAAAUCACUGUGGUCCUUUUUUGUUUACAACUUACGAUCUUAUUGCUUUUUAUUACAUUAUGCAGGUCUCCGAAAAGCCAAGACUCUUUCGCCUGCGUCAUUUACACCGGACGGCAGAUAUAUAAUCUCGGUCGGCAAUGAUUCCCAUGUUUACAUAUGGAACUCAGAUGGAUCUACGAGCCCCUGUUCCAAAGUAGACGAAUCAAUUAAUACACGCAGCUUGAUCAAACCUUCGUCGAAGGGACCCAAAUCAAUUGAUUCGUUCGAAUCCUUCGUCUCCAAAGGUGUUUCAUUAGCAGCUGCGUGGCCUGGAGUGGACAAAAAAGCGGGAAACGACCGAAGCAAAAGCUCCUUUGAUCCAUCCUCCAUCCCGAAGAGAAUCUUAGAGCCGUCGACCUUGCUCCGAGACCCGGACUGCUUGUCCCUCGGUGCUUGGCUAUUUUCCAACGGCCUGUUGAGGGGAACCGCGACAUGGCCGGAGGAGAAGCUUCCUCCGCCGUCUGAUUUGUCGUCGAUGGCCGACGAUUGCAGCCUUCCCCAUCGGUGUCUUGCUUCUAUGUCGGCGUCGUGGAACAGCGUCAUAGCGACUGCGAGUGACGAUGGGAUUAUCAGGGCUUUCCAUAACUACGGAUUGCCCGUUAGGUUGUGAAAAUGUGCAUCAGAACCACCGCAAGGGCCUUUUCCAAUUAUUUCGAAAAGAAAGGAGGGCCGCAGUUUGCUAUUUUUGCACUGUAACAUCCUUACAGUUUUUUUAUUUGGGUUUCAGCUCAAAUUUGAAGGAUCGAUGCUGCGCGAAAUUUUUAGCAAAUGGAUUCAGCAUAAUAUUAUUUUCUCCAGGAAACAAGAAGAGCAACAUUACCGGCAAAAGAGUUACAGGAAACAAAAGUGACCCAAAAGGGAUAAUUGGGAAUUUUGCUUAUUGAAGUAGGGAUUAUGAAAAGGACACGAGAGAGAUAAAUAGAAGGAAUGCUUUUAGCUGCAAGUGCAGUUGUUGUUGUUGUUGUUUUUUUGUUUUGUUUUUUUUUUUUUUUUUUUUUUUUUUUCUGGGGGGGAAGAAAAUGCUCUGUGAAUAUCUAUGUUUCCAUGGCUGUUGUUGGACAGGAAACUUUGUAAUCGCCAUGUUACAUGAAGUGAUAUCUGUUUUAUAUAUAUUAUAUGGUUUAAUGCACAUAUUUAAUCAUUUAAAUGUAUUUAAUUGAUUGAUAUAAUUCGAUAUUCAAUGUUCUCUCAACUGUUUAUCAGAAAGAGAUGCUACGUUGGGAUCUACUUUUUUUUCACUUGUACCUAAUGUGGAAGCUUUUUAUGAGAUGCCGCAAAAGCUGUGAUAAUGAAAAUUUUCUCUUUUUAGCUUUUACUCCUGCAUAGAGGAGGUGGGUGUGUGGUCCUAAAUUUAUAACAGGACUUUUUUGCAAAUAGUCUCCUUACAAUUUUUUUUUUUAAAUUGGCCUUGUUAAAAAUUUAUUUACAAAAAUGACCCUGGCCUCGUCACGCAAGCGCCACGUCAGUACCACGCGGGCGAGGCCAGGCGAGAGGGUUAAGUUGAACACGGUGAACCAUUCACCGUGUUCAAUACAAAAAGUUUUUGUAUUGGACACGGUAAAUGAUUCACCGUGUCCAAUACAAAAUAUCUAUGAUCGAAAUAUUUGUAUUGAACACGGUGAAUCAUUCACCGUGUUCAAUACAAAUAAUUGGACACAGUGAAUGGUUCACCAUGUCUAAUAUAAAUACCUCCAACUUAAUCAUUGUUGGGGUAUUUGUAUUGGACACGGUGAAUUGGACACGGUGAAUCAUUCACCGCGUCCAAUACAAAAAUCUUGUAUUGAACACGGUGAAUAGUUCACCGUGUUCAACUUAAAUAUCUGGGCCCGCCCUGCCCGCGUGGUGCUGACAUAGCGCUGGCGUGGCAGGGACAAGGUUAUUUUUGCAAAUAAUUUUUGGACGUGGCUAUUUUUGUAAAUAAAAUUUGUCAGGAGACUAUUUGCAAAAAAAGCCCAUAACACAUGUUCAAAACUUCGUUAAAUUUUGGUCCUACGUCAACUUAAUACAAAAAAAAAAAAAAAGAUAAACGAGAGCUUUGACAAAUUUAGUCUCCUCAACUAUAUUUUGAUCUACUUAUCUUUUUGACCAUUGGUUGUUUUCUUAUGCUGUUUUAUAGUUACUUUUUUUUUUUUUUCUUUCUUUCAAAUAUAGAUAGAUUACUCCAACUAAUGCAGUCCACUUUCUAAAACAAGUAAUUAAAAAUGCAAAAGUAAAAAAAAAAAAUUGAAAAAAAAAUUGUAAGGGUUUUUUCCACUAGAAAGCGGCUGAAAUUUUUUUUAAAAAAAAUAGAAAUUCAAACUCCCAAUUUCUCAAGUAAAAUAAUAGUGCGUAUUUUUUAUGAGAAUUUACGAAUUAAUUUGUAGACGUUCUAUUUCUAGUCAAAGUUAACGGUUUCCCUCCUUUGUUGACUCUGAUUUUUCUAUUAUCUUUUUUUUUGCCCCACCAACUACUUGUUGCCAAUCAAUAUAAUUUUUUAUCUAUAUACUGUAAAAUAAAAAAACAAAAUACAAUUCAAUCCCAUUGCUUGCACGUAACUAUCAAGGUCAUAUGCCAACUUAGGUUACCAAUUUUUAUCUCCUUCCACUAAAUUUAUGCUCCCAUAUAGUCAAUGGCAUGUAGAUUAUUCAAUUAAAGAGAAAACGAUGCAAAAUCUAAAAUAUUAUUCAUAUUUUCUUUAGUGAAAAUUUUCAAAACCCCCCAUGUGGUUUCAUACUUUUUCAUUUUAGUAUCCUGUAGUUUAAAGUAUAUCAAGUUAGUACCCUGUGGUUUCUCACUUUAUCAUUUUAGUACCCUGUGGUUUAAAGUGUAUCAAGUUAGUACCAUGUGGUUUUGCACUUUAUCAAUUUAGUACUCUGUGGUUUUAAUUUUGUAUAAAAUUAAUACCCUAUGGUUUUUAAACCACAGGAUACUAAAGUGAUAAAGUGUGAAACCACAUGGUACUAAAGUGAUAAAGUGAAAAAUCACAUGGUACUAACUUGAUACACUUUAAACUACAAGGUACUAAAAUGAUACAGUGAGAAACCACAGGAUACUAACUUGAUACGUUUUAAAUCAUAUGAUACUAAAGUGAAAAAAAUUGAAACCAUAAGGAAUGUUUUUGUAGUUUUCCCUUUUCUAAAUCACAAAUAGUCUCGUACAAUCAUCAUUUCUUUUUUUAUUAUUUAAAAUAUCGAUAAUUAUUAGAGUAGUUGAUAGGAAUACUUAAAAACUUUACGAUAAAGAAUUUAGUAUGUAAAGCCAUGGGGAACAAAUGCGAUAUUUAUUUAUUUAUUUAUUUUUGUAUAUAUUUAUAGACACGAGAACACUUUUGUAAUUGCCAAAUUAGUGCUAGAUUUGGUUAUCAGGUAACUUUCUCUUUUAAAGCAAGCAUCAUACGAAAGUCUAAAUUAAGAGUUUUACCUCUACUUGUACAUAAUAUAAGCAUGUUAGAAAACAAAUACCAAAAGGGAAUUAUUUGCCUGUGUGCGCUUUCUCAAAUAACGUUUAUUUAUAAUACCGACUGUCUCUAGCGUAACUGAUAAAAGACUUUGUGGUUGAUACCCGAAGUUUCAAGUUCGAAUCCUAAUUGAUUCAUAUUUCUAGCUAAGUUUAUUUCUAAAUUAAAUAAACGAAAUGGGUAACAUGCUAUCUAUCUCUAAAAAAAAAAAUUGAUUAUAAUAUUAUAGUGUUCCAGAGGUUUGGAUNACACUACUCAUUUAAGUUUUGGUAAAAAGGUAUAGAAUUUUUCUGCACUAUAGACUAUUUUGAAUCAGUUACCAAACUUUUCAAAUUUUUAUUUUACUAUCCGAUCUUUCAAUUUGUUUGAUUUGAAUCAGUCGACGAUACUUUAACUUUAAAAUUUUAAACUAAUUACUCGCUUUAAUAAAUUUAUAAUUAUAAAAAUUACAUGAAGUGUAAGAAGAAAUGUCGCAUUAAAAUUUUAAAGCCAAGAUGUUAUUGACUAAUUCAAAUCAAAUAAAUUAAUAGAUUAGACAUUCAAGACUACACAAAAAAAAAGACAUUAUAGUAAAAAACAAAAGAGAAUAAUAAAAUAAUGAACAAAUUAAUACAAUCAAACAACAAUUGUGAAAAAAAAAAAAAAAAACGUUACAUAAUAAUUACAUAAGCUGACAAUGUCUAUGGUCAAAAAAAUUAGGGACAAAAAUUUCGUGGACAUCCGUGCCCAAACUAUUUGUUUGGGCACGGAUGAGAAUGGGCGCCGCGUGGUGUGCCGCGCCCAUCGCAACAGUCCGAAAGAAAGAAAGAAAGAAAAAAAAAAAAAAAAUCAGGGGCCUCCAUUUUUUAGAAAGAGAGAGAGAGAGAGAGAGAGAAAGGGGAAGGGGCGGUGGUGAUGGGCGCCGCACAUCACGCUGCGCCCAUCAAACAAAUAGUUUGGGCACAGAUGUCUGCGAAAUUUUUGUCCAAAAAUCAAGAGCCCUACCAACAUCAGUCCUCUCUCCUCAUUCACAUACGCUGCUGCAUACACAAAACAAGGCCGGCCGGCAAAACAAAAUUUAAUGGGGUAGUUUGCUGUCUUCACGUGGGCCCCACCAUUUUUAAUAAUAAUAAAAAAGAAAUAAUAGUAGCAGUACUUCUCUUCUCGCACGCUGCCGUCGCCUCCUCCUCUUUCUCUCGUCCUUUUAGGAUAUGUCUGGCUUCAUUUUUAAUUUUAUUUCUGGCUUCACUUUUAAUUUUAUUUUUACUUAUAAUUAUCCGUGCUCUUGAUAAAAUAUUUGAUAAGUAAAAAGAUAAAAUUGAAAUUUAUGAUUCGGUUGGGUAGAGAGAAAGUAUCGGUGUAAUCUUUUAUAGUAAUUUUCUAUUCACUUUAUUUAUUUUAUUUAAAAAUAAAUUUAGCUGGAAAUAUGAAUCAACUAAAUUCGAACAUAAGAUCUCUUCUUUUGCUAUUUAUGCAGGGAAUGAUUAAUUUUUUUUAGUAACUUUCGAAUGUACAGAUAGUAAAUUUGAAAAAAAAAACAAAAAAUUGAUUAUAUCAGGAGGAAAAGAGAGAGAAAGAGAGAGCGAAGAAAAUGAGAAGGUAGAUGUAGGGAGGAGGCAGGCAGGGGCUAAAAGGGAUCGGGGAAGUGAUUGAGGAGAUCCCAGAAGGCACCUGGGGAGGGGAUGGUGGGGGUGGAGAGCAGGUGCUGGCUGUUUCCGGGGCUGGCGAGCACCAUGCCGCUGAGGACGGGGCUGAGGUCGCCGAGGUAGCCGAGCACGCUGGGGUCGAAGCCCAGCGAGGGCGACGCCAGGAACAAGCUCGGCGAUAUCGGCUGCAGCGACGCCGGCCCCGGCGACAGGAUUCCGGGGAAGAAGCAGGACGACGAGUUCGUCCCCAUCCCCCCCGCCGCCGCCGUCCGCCCCGUCAGCAAUUCGACGUCCGCACCCCCCUCGUCCUGCUGCUGCUGCAACAUAUAUUGCUGCCGAUGAUGCAGCGGCCGCGGAGACGCUGCGGCGGCGGCGGCGGGCGAGAGGAGGAGGGUCGUGGUGGCUUCUGCUUCUGCUGCUGCUGCUGCAGUCGUCGACGGAGCUGCUGCUGCUGCGGUGGAGGAAUAAGAAGAGGAAGAAGAAGUGUCGAGGGAGUUGCCGGUGAGGCGCUGGACGAGGGACAUGAAGUCGGAGGGGGUGGUGUGGAUGACCUUGGGCGACACGGCGUAGAUGAUCACGGGCGAUCGAUGAUGGUGUUGGUUUUGGAUUUGGCUUUGGAUUUGGAAUUGGAGAGGUUGUUGGUGUUGAUGUUGUUGAUGUUGGUGAGGAGGAGGGAGAGGGAGAUAGGGGUGGGGGUUGGGGAAGAGAGGGGGCUUUUUGGCGAUCUUGUAGGAGUCCUUGCUGACCUUGAGAGGGGAGGGGCGGGGGGCCUGCAGACUCCAGCCGCGGGACGGUUUCGCACUCCGGUACGCGGGAGGACUAUCCUGGCUGUGCUGCUGCUGCUGCUGGGUCCAUGUGCCUCUCGAUCCCUACUGCACCACCCGGUCUAGAGAGAGAGAGAGAGAGAGAGAGAGAGAGGGUCUUCUAUAUAUAUAAAGACAGAGAGAUGUACAGAUCUUGUACUCUUGUACUCUUUCUCUCUCUUCUCUUCUCUUCUCUUCUCUUCUUCUUCGUUGGGGUUGGGGUUGGGGGGAAGGGAUGAGGAAGGAGGUGUUAGAGAGAGAGAGAGAGAGAGAAAAUAAUAAUGAAGAGGCCAAUUUGGGGGAUCAGGAGAGAAAGUGGGGGGCGGGGGGGGCGUGAUGAUGAAUUGAUGAUGUAAAUAUUUUAGAAGAGAGAAGACGAGUCAAUGGACCGCCUACUGCGGAAGGAAAAUUCUUUGAAGCUCCGGUUGCGCCAUGUUUGGCACCCACCCGUGCUACGUGGCACCUUGUGAUUGGGUACACGAAAACACAACUCUGGAGUUAAUGUAUUAUUUUCUUUAUACAGAUAAGGAGAGUGAGAGAGUGUGUGUUUACUGUUCGUUUAGGCCAGGAUAAUUCUGGGAGUAGAAAAUUCAUAUGUUUUUAUCUUAUAAUAAAUUGAAAUUUUAUAGAUCUUUUUUUUUUUUUUUUUCCAGAGAACUCAUUAUAGCUCUUUUUUCUUGCUUCCUACAUCCUCCACCACCUCCUUCCCCUAGAUUCCACUGCCGAUACUCACGAGCUCUCCCACUCCGUCAACCGAGCGCCCUCCACCUCCCCGGUACCCUCUGUCACGGCCGUCGCCCUCCCCAACCACUCCGUCAUCUAAGCCCCUCUUCACCUCCGCAGCAUCCUCCGCCGCCGCCCUCCCCGCCUCCGGUGAAUUUUUCGUGUUGAGUUGUCACGACGAAGGGUGACAAAGAAGGUAGGAGGGACGGAGAGGUGGUGGGUUUAAGUAAGAAGGAGAAUAUGGUAGAGAUGAGUUUGAGCUAGAAAAAUUAAAGUGGUGGUAGUGGAUUUUUUUUUUUGGCUAAAUUACAGAAAGCUUUCCUGUCAAAAUUCGAUUUUUUACUUUUCCUUUCUGUCAUUUAAAAACAUACACUUUGCCCCCUUGUAAAAUAAAAAAUGUUCAUCAGGGGCUACGGUGUGAACUGUGAUGACAAAAUGAUUAUUUUGCCUCUCACCAUUUUACCUCUCACCAUGUUCAUAGGAUAGAAGACUGAGAGCAUUUUUAACAUAAAAAAUAUAUAAUAAUAUUUUAUAAACGAACCCUAACGGAUUACUAAUGGUAAAUGGUGGAGUAAAUAUUUUUCAUUUUAAAAUGGAGCAAAGUGUAAGUUUUUAAAUAACAAGGGGGGAAAAUAAAAAAUCGGGUUUUGACAAGGGAGUUUUAUGUAUUUUAGCCUUUUUUUUCACAUCAAAUUAUUUUUUUUUUGGAUUUGAAUUAGACACUAGAAAACAGAGUAAAAAAUUAUAGAAUUUAAAUAUAAAUUUUUUGUUUUAAAUUUUUACAGUUGCCUAACUAAUUCUUAGUUGUAGGGAAUCUAAGCACAGCUAAUAAUUGAUCCAGAAAGAAAAAAAAAAAAAUUGCCCACUCAAUGAGAAACUCUAAUGGUUAAUGGGAAAGAGAAAAUGAGCAUCUACAAAGAUGCUUUGACAAAUUAACUUUUCAAAAGGUCCAUCUCUUUGAAUGGGAUAAAAUAUUUUGCAAACGAAAAUAAAUGGGUUUAAUCUUUCACUAUCAAAAAGCAUCUUUUUCUGGAAAACAUACAUACAUGUAAGUUGGGAUGGACAUAUCAUGCUUGGUUUCAAGCUUAUUUAUUUUGGCUUAUGCAGUAACACUUUUUACAUAUGAUAUAAAAAAGGCCAGUAUCUUACAUUUUAAAUUAAUGUUUUCCAAUCACAAAACAACACUGAGAUCAGUUCAAGGCUAAUUUUUUUAAAAAAAAAGAUUAUUUUUUAUUUCAAGCAUCAUAUGGCAAAGAAGAAGAUCAGUUUAAGGUUUUAUUUAUUCAAAAGACGUUUAGCGCUUUUUCUACUUUGAUAUCUCUUCGACAGUGAUUUCAUCACUAUUUCGUAUAUCAGCGAAAAGAGCAUGCUUAGCUUUUCUUUUCUUUUUUUUUCUUUUUACGGAACUUAUAAACGGUGAAGCUAAUAUAUUUGAGCAACAUAUUUUCAAACAAGGCCUAAUAUUAAAACUAAACCAAUUUUCCUUAUCUACCGUUUUACUUUUCCUAUUUAGCCAAAAAGCAACAAAACUUUUACUAUCUAUUUCUCAAUUUGUUGAAUUGUCAUAUUUGUGAUGGCCAGAGCUUUCUCUCACUUUUGUUGCCCUAGGUUCAAGGGAACCACAAGUCACAAGUGGAACUACUUGCAUAUAAUCCUAAAAUUAUUGGGUAUCACAAUUUACUUCUCUCACCUAAUUCAAUUCACCAAUUCAUAGACUUUUUUUUCAAAAAUAUUUACACUUGUACUAAUUACAACAUAAAUUAAUGUAAAUUGGCCUAUUAGCUCAGUUGGUUAGAGCGUCGUGCUAAUAACGCGAAGGUCGCAGGUUCGAGACCUGCAUGGGCCAAUAAACUAUCUUUUUAUUUUUUUUGAGGGCUCGGCCCGUAAGUAUUUUAACUGGGUUGAGUUUGACGAGUUCAGAUGUUUUUUUUUUUUUUUUUUUUUUGAGAAAAAAGUAGCACGCUACCCGCUUCAUUCAUUAAAAUGAUGAACUCAGCUACAGGGGUGAGGCAACAUGGCCUCAUGGUGAGGGCGAAAAAAAAAAANUACAGUUUAGGGUUUAGGAUAUUACUGUCGAUUAACGGUUACCAACAAGCCGCCGAUUAGUUGAGAAAAAAAUGCUCCCAAAGAUACGUCAGCUGUUUGAUCUUGUUAACGGCAAGGAUAGGGUCCGGCUGGGAAUUCCUAAAAAUCAUGGCAUUUCUGACUUUCCAAAUUACCCACCAGCAGGCUACCAACCCGGUUAACCUGGAGCUCGCCGACGAGUCCAGAUAUUUAAAACACAUUUUUGAUAGCUUGAAAUUUUAGAAAUAAACAAUAUCACCACAUUUCUGAGUUCCUACACUAUUUACUGUAAAAACUGGAACUUAAACUAAUUAAAUUUAAGCUCAGAUUUGUAUUGUUGCUAAGGUCAAAUGCAUUUAUUAUUUUUUGAAAAAAAAAGGACAAAUAAAUUAAACUUAAUUGGCCAUGAUAUCACUUUCCCUCAUGGUAGGUAGGGUAUCCUCAACGUAGAGAAACAAUUUAGUUGUUCAUAUGUGGAAAUGUUAGAGGAACCUUGUCUCGUAUAAUUUUUCUAUUUAAUAACAUUCCUAUGAUCAACAUGGCACAUUUUUUUUUAUGCAUUUAUAGAUCUUACCAUAUAGUUCACUCAAAAAAAUAAAAAAUAAAAAAAAUUAAGGGGGCACCCUUUUUCUUUUAUGAGGAGUACUAGGAUUACAAAAAAAAAUGAGAUAAAUCGAUAGUUACUAAAUAAUAUAGUCAUUAAAUUGGAUUUAAAUUUUAACAUAAUAAUUAAAAAACUAGAAUUUGAGAGGUUUAUUUCAAAAUAGCUUACAGUGUAGCAGGUCUCUAUUUAUUUCUAAUAUUUUCUUAAUCCAAUCCAAGACCAAUUCAUUAAAGAAACAAUUAUAUUCACAUCCCAACACCAACUAAUAAAUCUUUUUUUAAAAAAAAUAAACAUCAAUUAUAUUAACUUAUUAGUUUCUCAAAUAUUUAAUUAUUCUAUCAUUUUACAGCUUUAUCUUUUUUUUUAAGGUUGCUUAACUAAUAUUCUUUCGCUCACCAACCACCGCUCCCUCAGCUAAACCGGAUAUAGACCCGGUCCACGGCUCAGAGAAACUAUUGCCUGCGCCGUCCCGGUUCAGACGUGGACCGAGUUCACCAUCCGACGUGGCAAAACGAACCGGCUUUGGGAUCUUGCACCGGUAACUGCCAAAAUGUGAAAUGACAAAUAUACCCUCGCGAACCCCUCGUAUUCCCGCAUCCUUAUUGCUAAACGACUGAGGGCAUAAUCGGUAAUCCACUUACCCCACGAGACGCAUCAUUUUCCUCUUCUUCAUUGCGUCUAAAUUUCGCGCUUAGUCGCCUCUCUCUCUCUCUCUCUCUAAAUCGCCAUUGACGAAGCUCAAAACCCUAAUUCCCAAAUAGAAAAAAGCUAAAGGAAGAAGCAAUUCUAUAUAUAGAUAUAUACACAUAGUGGAGGAGGAGGGAUAUAUACAUAUAUAUAUAUAUAUAUAUAUAUAUGUAAGGAGAGAGGUGUACACGGACUCAAUCCUCAAUAAGAAGAAGAAGAAGAGGAAUCAGAAGCUUCCCCUGCUAAGGAACCCUAAUUUUCGAAGAUGUUGGGGGAAGUCCUUACCAAAAUACUUGUGUAAGGCCUCUUUUUGCUCUCGAUCUCUUUGUUUUGGUGUUGAUCUUAUGGUCUCUUCAUUGAUUUGUUGUUUGAUGUGUGUGUGUUGUAGGGUUUUGUUCGGGUAUGCGUUUCCGGCGUUUGAGUGCUUCAAGAUGGUGGAGCAGCGGCCCGGCGAGAUCCAACAGCUCCGAUUUUGGUGCCAGUAUUGGUAAUCGAGAAUUUGAAUCCAUUUCCUCCUUUAAUUGGAAAAAAAGGGAUUUUUUGGGUCUCUGUUUUAGGUUUUUUGAGUUCAUUAUAGUUUGUGAUUGGUUUAGUUUUACUGAUUGCUGAGUUUUAUGAAUUUAAUAAUCAAACAUAUUUAGAUCAAAAGGAGGAGAUGUUAAAUGAGCUCUGUGAGCAUUAAAUUUUGUUGGAGAUUUGUUGAAUAAGGAAUGGGAUGAGAUGUGCUUGAUGAUAUGCUUAAAUGAAGAAGUCAAUUUUGAUGGGCUUAACUUGGGGGGGCCAUGCAUGAAUUGUUUGAUAUAUUCUACUAAAUUUCUAUUAUUAUUUUUUUAAUUAGUGGGGACUAGUCAAUUUAUAGAGGAGACAGGUCCUAUUAAAUCUCUCUUUGUUUGCCUUGUUGAGACCACUUGAUAUCGUUUGUACACAUUCAGGACCAAUUCCAUCACAUGUACAAAUCCAAUUAGAGGGUUCAAAGAGUAUAACAAGUUGAGGAUAUUGCACAUGAUGUAUUGGCUUAAGCACAGGCUGAAUUUUUAUUUUGUUUCCUAGGGAGCUGUUUGGAAACCAGGAUUCGAAUGGAUAGGAUAAAAUAUGAUAGAGAUGUUGCGAAAAUAGAAGAAUUUAGCAACUUAGAGGCAAGUUGUGAGAUGUAAGACUCUCGGAUUAUCAAAUUGGAUAAUCUUGUUUCGAUGGGAUUAUUGAGUCUCAUCUGAGAGGUUGGGAUUGAACUAGGUCGGAUCAAACCCUUCUCCGUCGUGGCUCCUGAUGCCUUCGAGUUGUUAAAAUCGCUUCUAAUUAGGUCUCUUAAGGUUAGUUAUUUGCAUCUCCGAUGGCUAAUAAGUAGAAAUAACAUGUUAGGGAACUAGAAAAUCGAAGUUUGUGAGCAAUAAUGUCCUCAUCCCAGGUCAUUGUCAAUAAUGGUUGGUGCAAUGCAUACUUAUCAAUUAUUUAAACUACAAUGCAGUAUGAGUUUUUUAGGCAAUAAAAGCUUGUUUAGAUUUUUCCAGUUCAGUGAGGACAAAAUAUUGUAUUGAAAGCAGGUAAUUAAAAUUUUGUGUCCAUUUUUUUAUUACUUUUUCUUUGUUUUCCUUGUUGUAUUCAAUUAGGCGACUAGCCCUUGUACACUUCAAUAGAAUUGGUCUAUCAGUUACUAUCAACAAGUGCCCCACUUAUGUUUAAAGAAAAGCCUAAAAUUGGAGAGAAGCGAUUCUGAACACUAGCCUCUAUGCUUGGGCACAAAUUAGAGCAUGGAGAGUAAAGCCAUCAUAGUAACAUAGGUUGCUUUCAAUAAGCAUUUCAGACAAUGUGUGUUUGCCCUUUUUCAUUGAACUUCGAUGUAAAAUAGGUUCACAAGGGCUUCUGUUUAGUAUCUAAUAAGAUUUUUCAUUGAACUCACACGUUGACACAUUUUAGGAAAAAGUUAUUAGAUUAGACUAAGGCUUUGCGAUGAGUUCAACAUGUUAAACCCCGAUUAAGGUUUCAAAAUAACUCUGUUUCUCUAUAGUUUAACAGUUAGCUAGAUUUGUAGUUCACUAAUGAGAGACAGAGAAGUAAAUGGAGAUUAGGUUCGCUUAUUGCUGAUUUUUAAUCGGAUAGAGAAAUCACUAUUGUAAGUUGACAUAAUUGGUAGGUAGAUCGGAAAGAAAAGCAAGCAUAAGAUGCUGAUAUGCUUACUGCAAUGUCACUGCUUGACAAAUAUAUAAAUACUUGAUUAUUUUCUCUGCUAUGUCACAGCUGUUCUAUGAAUGUAAGUAUUUAGAUUUAGCUUUCAUGUUCCUGUCUCUUUUAAUAACAUAAGUUUAAGAAUUUUGAUUGAAGGUGACUCUAGCGGGAGUAAUGAACUUCAUAUGAAUGUAAACCACGCUCUUCUUCACAUCCUUGUACUAGUGAGGACUUUUGAAUGGCCAGCUCUGAGAACAUGUGUACCACUUUAAUAUUACCUAGUCCGGUGGAUGACUUAAUUAUAGACUCAUUAUAUCAGUUUUCAUUUUGAUAGCUCUGAGAUUGGAUAAAAUCACUAUAUAUAUUGAAACAUUCUGACCAUAACAUUGAAUUUCAGGAUCAUAGUAGCAAUUGUGACAGUCAUCGAGAAACUUGCAGACACAGUUGUUUCAUGGUAAUGAGUAACAAUAAUUCAACUUCUUAAUGCUCGUUUUCUCUCAUCAAAAGCAUUACCGUUAUGUUCCCCUUAUUUUCUAUGAAAGGGUGCCGAUGUAUGGAGAGGUGAAGCUCGCCUUCUUUGUGUACUUAUGGUAUCCAAAGACAAAGGUAACCCCAGCUAAACUCGACCAUAGACCGAGCAUGCAUCGACCAACUUACUGAUUUUAAUGCGAUUCCUUUUUUCCAUCAGGGAUCUGAUCUGGUCUACGAGACGUUCCUGCGACCAUUGGUGAUGCAGUACGAACCAGACAUUGAGCAGAGACUGCGGCAUUUGAGGGCUAAGUCAGGGCAGCUCAUCAUGUUCUACAUUAAGAAUUUCAGCGACAAAGGAACCACUCUCUUCCUCGAGGCACUCAACUAUGUGGUCUCUCAGGGUUCGCGAGUUUCGCGCUCUGAGGUAAUUUUAAUUUCAAUUUUUAAAUCCCUGCUGGUUAGUUUGCUUCUGAACUAGCAUGCGCAAUUUAUGUAGCGUAAGAUAGGUGUGCAUGGACCAAACUAAAUGGUUAGAUUAGAUCUGAUUCUUCUUUGUUUUCCAUAGGAAAAGAUUUUACGAUAAACUAACUGCAAUUGAAACAGAGAGUUUGGCUACUAAGGAUAUAUAUCGAAAAACAUUGUUUUAUUACUAAAGCUGCUUCUGUAAUGUAGAUUCCCAAGUUCAAAAUUUAAUAACAUCCAUGUGAGUUCAAAAGCAAAGAAACCGUUGUAGCGGUUGCUGCGCAUGAAUAGAAUGCUGUGAGCCAAAAACUUGUACUUGCUCUCUACUAACUUCACAUAUGCUGCUGCAUCUCAAUCUCACAGAGCUUCUUCUCAAGGAGCAAACGGUCGGCAUCGAGCCCCGUGGCGACCAAGCACUCAUCGACGGCCUACGACACACUGGGCUCCACAGCCGACGAUGUGGCCGCCGCCGAUCCCCACGCCGGCCGUCCCAAACAACGGCGACCGCCAUACAAGUAUUAGAAAAAAGAUUACAAAAAUCUACUAAAGUGAAAAAAAAAGAAAAAAAAGAAAAAAAAAGAAGAAGAUAGUAGAAGAUUGAAACCAAUGUGAAUACCGAGAUAGUAAUGCCACAGAUGAACUGCAGUUUGUUCAGUUACUGUUCUUCGCUCUCUUUCUUUUUUUGCUUGGAUAUGUAUCACGACUUGUUAGAGUUCCAAUGUUGUGAAAUUCGAAAUAAAAUUAAAUUAAAUGUGCGAAAUUAGUAGGAUAAAAUGCAUGUAUAGUGUCCAUAAUGUCCGAAUGACGUGAUAUAUAUAGAUUUUACAUUACGUAUUAAUCUCCUCCGGCUACAAGAUCGAGUACAGGGACUAUACAUUCAUUGAAUGGCCGCGGAAGCAGCCGAAGCAGCGGAGUGGAUCCAUAGCGCAGCCACGGAAGAGGAGCGGAAGGGCGGCGAAGAAGCGGCGGACGAGGCUCCGGCCGCGACCGCAGCAGCGACGGCGGGGAGGAUGCGGCGGCAAGAGCUGGAGGUAUGUGCGGGCGGCGUGCUUCACGAGGGGGUCCCGUAUCGCCAUCCUUCCUGCAGAGGCGGCGGCCGCGGCAUACUCUGGCGAUCCGACGAUGUCGCGGAGGCUGACGUAGCCCUCCUCGGAGUUGCACCGCCGGAGCUCGAAUCUGUUGUCACCGCCGUAGGCCGUGGGGAAGCGAAGCGGCCUCGGCAUUGCGUCGUCGUGGCCGCCGCACAUGCAGCAGAGCCGCGGCGGUUCCCGGUGCCUUGUGUCUAGCAUUGUAGAGAGAGAGAGAGAGAGAGAGGUGGAAAGAGUUUACGUAGGAAGAGUUUCGUACGUAUAUAAUGUAUGUAGUUUGGUAUAGUAUGCAUGUAUAUAUAUAUAUGUGACGAGAUUAGAUAAAGGGAGUAGUAGUAGUAUAUCUAAAGUUGGAGAAGUACUAAACUUGUCCUACGUUUUAGGAGGAGAUAAUAUGUUUAUAGAUAAUUCUUUCACUAAGAUAUUGAGUAAGAAUCCUAAUAUGUUUAGGGAGGGACUAGAAUUGUCAAAUUAAGAGAUUAGUUUCGGAUUAGGUAUGUUAACAAAGAAUUUUUUAAAAAAAUUUAAUUUUUAAUAUUUAAAAAUAAUUUGAUAAAAAUAUAAAAUUUAUUAUAUUCUAUAUGUAGGUGUAAAGAUAAUAUUGCUUAUUAAAUUAUUCAAGGAUCUGUAGCUAAAAAACGAUUUUUGUUAAUAUACGUGGCAGCUUGCGCUGGUGCCACGUGUCUCUUCCUCUUGCCUCACAGAUCAUGGAGGGCCCAGGUCCCUCCCAAUACUUUUAGGCCCAAGAAGGCCCAAGACCCAAUUCCACUCCAAAACCAAACGUACACCCUUACGUCCUCCACAUCCACACGUCCAUUUCUCACCAUCAGAGCCAAAAACGCCAAAUCUCCACCGCACGAUUCAUGGGCCGAGAACACACGGCCCAGUUACGAUCCACGUGGCCCACUAUAAAUCCCCCCCAAAUCCUAUCGUCUUCUUCGUCUCUCUCUCUCUCUCUCUCUCUCUCUCUCUCUUCAAUGGCCGCAGCGGCUCUGUUACUCUCCACGCUCCCGCCCACGAAACGCGACCAACUCCUCCAAACCCAACUCAAACCCUCGCUCCCCACCGUCCGUCCACCCCGGAGCCGCUUUAAGAUUCGGGCCGUGCAGGAAACGAAAGAGGAGUUGAAGAGCUCCUCCUCGUCGCCCGAGGAGAUCACCGAGAAGUACGGGCUCGAAUUUGGGCUGUGGAAGGUAUUAUUACGAAAUUUGGAAAAAAAUAUAGAAUUAUUGUGCACUAGUUAUUUAAUUAGUUUAGUACGCGGUAUUUCAUGUUCUUAAUCCGUAUUAUCCCUUUCGUUAUAUUGUUUUUGUAGUAAAAUUUGUUUGAUUUGAUUUAUCCAAAGCUGUUUUAAAAUUCAAAAUUUGAAUGUUUUAUUUAUCCUCCUUAUAAAUUAUGUAGUUUUUAAAAUAAAAAAUUUAUUAAAAUAAAUAAUUAGUUUAAAUAUUGAAGUUAAAUUUUUUUUUGUGAUGGAUUAAAAUUAAACGAAUUGAAUGGGUAGAUAGUAAAAUCAAAAUUUUAAAAAAUUGUAUUGUCGAUUCAAAAUAAUUCAGAUAAUGUACAUUUGCUCCCAUGGUUAUUAGCGCACAUGUUAGGAACUUGUGAUUUAUCUAAUUUUUAUGGUGCACUUGAACGAAUGUGUUAGAAAAAUAAAAAUAAAAAUAAAAAUAAAAAAUUAUGCACCAACUUUUUCGGCGAUUAUAUUGUCUAGUUCAAACUUCAAGCUGCUUUGAAAUUCGAGCACCGUUACAGUAGAGUCACCAUAUAUACUCGUCUUUUUCUGUAAAAUGUUAUUUAUUGUUUCCUACUAAAUUGAUCUUUUUUGGUAGUAGUAGUAAUUAAAUAUUUUGCGAAUACAAUUGUUUGUGAAAAUGUGGAUUUGGUGUCUUUUUGGGUUGUAGAUAUUUAGUUCUAAGGAGAGAGGAGGAGGAGGAGGAGAUGGAGAAGGGAAAGAGAAGUCCAAAGGGGAUCAAGCAAAGGAACUUUUAGCUAAGUAUGGGGGAGCUUAUUUGGCUACUUCAAUAACCCUCUCUCUUAUCUCUUUCGCCCUCUGCUACAUUUUGAUUAGUGCUGGGAUUGAUGUGCAAGCCCUGCUAAAUAAGGUAUGUAAUAAUAUGGAGCUGAUUCUUUAGGUUUUGUUUGAGAUUAUUCUUUUUCUAUUUAUUUUUUUAAGGUAAAAUUAAUGGAUGGAGAUCCUACAAGUAGACCUCUAUGUCUAUAUAUAUAUAUAUAUAUAUAUUUUUUGAAGUUACCAUUUUUCAGCUUAUGUUUAUUUUGAAUUGAGUUACUUAGCGUCGAGGAAUCGAAAAUUUUUAUUGAAUUUAGUGACGAUUCAUUUAAUUUAAUGAUCUUGUCCCUUUCAACUAACAAGAAUAUCUGAUGAAAACAAGUUUAAGUUGGAACGAGCAAAACCUCAGGAAGGAUCUCAAUACAUUUUGAUCUUUUCGCUACAAGGUGAAGGGGAUAUGUAUUUAACAGUAAGGCUUUCCAAUGUUGCUUGAGGCAGGUCGGAAUUGUGACGGACGAGACCGGAGGGAAGGUGGGGACGUUUGCGUUGGCCUACGCUGCGCACAAGGCGGCGUCGCCGAUCAGGUUCCCUCCGACAGUGGCGCUCACUCCGAUCGUCGCGAGUUGGAUCGGAAAGAAGAGAGCCAAAUCAGAGGAGAAGUGAUCACUGAUUACUUCUCUCUCUCGAUGUGCACUUGAAACGCCACCCAUUUUGAUCUCCUUGCUCGCCUUCUUUUCCUUGUGUGUUUAUAUGUGAAGUAGAGAUUUUAUGAGUAGACAUGUAGAUUCAUGUUAUGUUUUGUGUUGUGUAUAUUAACAAGAUGAAUAGAUAUUACUUUUACUAACAUACUGAACUCUGAAGAUUCAUUUUCCGACAAAAAUUCGCCAAUUGAUAUUCGGAGAAGUUGAUUUCUAGCAAAAGAUUUGUCACCAAAAUUAUGUAGACGACUCAUUAGUCAUUAUUGCCUAUGCUUUAAUGCAAACCCUCCAACAGCAAAAUGAAAUCCAAGUUUUCAAUAGUCCGUAAGUAGAAAACAUCAUAACAAACUUUGCGAUGUCUAAUACCUCAAGAUUAAAGCCAGGGACCAAAGUGAAACUCAGACCUGUUGGUGUUUUAUGAUUGACAACGCAAUAGCUAUAGAUCACAUACGUUUUAUAGUUCAUCAUAACUCUCACAAGCAACGGAUACAUUGGAUUUCAAAUAUUUGUAGUUCAAUAACAGGAGAAACAUCAUAUUUUCUGAAAAAAUAUAUCUAUAUGGCCCAUCAAUUUACUUGAUAUGUAGAAUAAGUAGCUAAAAACCAUUCUCAUGUUCGAGUUAUUUAGAUCACGCAACUCGCUGAGGAUGAGUCUGCCUUCCAGAUUUCAAGAACUCAAAAAAGGAUGCUCCAUAUUCGCUUUCUCCAUGCCGCUUAUGCCACUCUUCGGUAUAUAAUUUCCGACCCAAAGUUGUUGCACUUAAAAGAGAUAUACAACAUCUAUCAUGCAACAUCCCCCUCAUCUUAAGUACUAUGUUGUUGCUUCGGACAAUCAUUUGCUUGUUUACUUAUGUGUCAUUUAGUUUUAGUGAACUUGAUGAACACUUCAUUCCUCCAAUUAAAAAAAGAAAGCAGCAGCUCUGAUUUUUACCUACAGUAUUCAGCUUGAACAAUCUCCGCGUUUAUCUUUGUGUUGCAUCUGUAUUGGAGGGGGCGUCAAUUACGCCAGACUCUUGCUGAUUUUGGGGCCGGGGUGUACUAACCUCGCCUGCGAAGUACUCGUCCAUGCUGAAUCUAUCUAUCUCAUCAAUUUGCUGUUCAGCUGUUGAUUCGAGUCAAGUACUCACGGUUGCAUGCACAAAAACUAAAAUAAUAUGUAGAAGGUUAAAAUGUCGACGAUCCUCCUAAACAUAUCACAAUUUGUCACGAUUUGCACUCCCCCCUCUCUGUAUUCACAAGGGAUUAAACUGCUAGCAUUUAUAAAAUGUAAGGGUUUAUUUCUAGGUUUUGAUUGUUGAGAGGGGUACAGGGCAGAUUGCAAUACAUUCAAGAGGUUAUCUGCAUUUUAACCUUGGUAGAAAGCAUAGAAUGAAGAAAAUGAUGAUGAAUGUCUUGAAGGAUACGUGCUGUUUUCCAUAUCUCAGUAAUGCUAGCCACAGAAUCCGAUAAAAGCCAGUAGUCAGCAUCGGUCUGCAAUUUAAUGAAACAAAUCAUUAUAAGAAUAUGUUUACACCAGUACUAAGCGGCUAUAUCCCAGGAAAAUUAUUUGCAUGAUGAAGCAUGUGCAACACCUCAAUUCAAUGCAACUUUUGGAUUGCAGUUUAGACAAAUUUAUUUGUAAUGAAAAUUUACUACUACUGGAUGAAGAUCUAUCAGAAGCAUGUUCUUGAGGCUAGAGCAAACUCUUAAAAUAGAGGUGAUGAAAUGCGACAAUCCUUCCUAAGUGAUAAUUGUUACUCAUAGUAUACAGGGAAUGUGUGCGCCAACCAACGAGAUAAUAGGAGUAAAUUACACAAUUGGAUAUGUUCACCAACCAACAAAAUAUUAGGAGUAAAUUACACAAUUGAUCACCGAACUCAUCAUGCGAUGCAAUUUAAUUUAGGUCGUUGAACUUUCUUUUGUUGCAAUUAAGUCAGUGAACUUCAAUUUCUAUUGAAUAGGGCCACUUCUUCCACCUAAGUUUAAUUUCUCAAAAAUAUAUAUAUAUAUAUAUAAUAGAGCGAUGACUGAGAGGCUGAUUUGAUAAUAGUGGUAUCUCAAAAGGAUAAUGCAGAGAUCAUGUUGCCAAGAAUUUAAUUGCCAUGUCAUCUCAAGGCUAUUUAAUUUACCCUCCACAUUAUCUUCGAUAAAUAACAAUCAGCUAAAUCAGCAUCAUUUCAACUCUUUGAUACGACAUGGUAGCUGAAUCCAUAUCCAAAUCAUCCAUCCCUCAGAGGAUUUUAUCGGAGUAUGAUAGAGUGACCUUGUUGAAAUAAAAACUGAAGUUCAGUUACGUAAUAGCAAUAAAUUAAACUUCCGCUACCUAAAUGAGACUUUACAGUAAGUUCCAUGACCAAUGGUGUCUCAAACAUUGAAUGAUACCACAACGAAUCGUGAGUGAUCGGUGGAAUACUCUUUGACAAUUUGCACUGUAGAAAAGAACUUACAUCAUCAUCUGAAGGAACAAUCUUUGUCAUUCCUCCCAGAUAAUCCUGUGAGGCAUUUAUGUCCAGGGCAAUCCUCUGACCAUCUUGAACAUUUAGUUCUGUCUCCUUACCUCUGCUACUCUCUGCAGCUACCACUGCUUUACAGCUUUCAGCAGGCCUUGAAUUUGGCAUCUGCGUAUUCCUUGGGGGAGUCUCCACACCACUCAUCUCCUCAAACUUCUCCUCAAAUUGACUGAAAAUAGUAAAAAGAUGGAGCUCAAAAGGUGAAAACAAACAAUACAAUUCAGAAUGAACGACGUAGUAAAUUUCCCAUUAGAAAUUAUUUACAGCAUUUGAGGAGAAGAAGACCGCAUUACCUAACAAGGUAAACAUCUAUUGGACCCAUAGUACUUCUUAGGACAAUUCUGUAUCUUCUCUGCAAAUAGUCACCAGCCUGCAUGCAGAGGGAGGAUAAAUUCCAAACGGCUCAAAUUGUCACAAUAGUGAAGUACAAUAAGCAUUGUUAUGAUACUUUAAAUCUUCUGCAAUGUUUCAACUCUCACUUCACUCUUACCUCGUCAGGAUCCGGGACUUCCAGCGUAGUGCCAUGAGGUGCUUUUAUUGCAAUUAGGGUUUCAUUCUGCAAUUAAGUAAAGGAGAUAUCGAUCCUUGUACUACUUUAUUGCGGUGAAAACUUGAUUCUACUAGAAAUUAUGGUAGAUCGAAUAAGAUUAACCAUACCUGAAAGCAGGGCAGUCCUUUAAUGUCAUCCUCCGUGACAUAAAGCCACCUAUAUGUAUGGAUGAUAUUGGAAAUUCAAAGUAAGCAUGAUUCGCUAACUGAAAUAACUUAGCACAAAUACAAGCAUGAAAAAUACAAUUAUUUUUCUUCUCAGAAGGAAAAAUAGGAAACACAAUUACUUUUGAUUAUUAUCGUCUUCUGUGAGCUCCCUUAACUUCUCUCGCAUUUCACUGCACAGAACCUAAUGUUUCAGAGGAUUACCGUACAAAGCAAAGAAAACAACAGUUCUACAGGUUUUGACCAAUGGCCAACCUUAUGCGCUCAUCUACGUUCUGCUCCUGCAAGGUAAGAUUUUCAACUUCCUCCUGAGAAAAAAAAAGAACAAAACAAAAAAAAAGCUAAGAACUUAGUUUUAGCCAUUCUCUUUCAGGCAAAAGUUAUAAAUAAAACAAACAGGUUAGCUCUUCAGAAAAGUGGUUAAAGAAUAAUGACUUUGACAACAGACAAAAGGAAAAAAUUGCACAGAAGCACUAUACCUGUAAUAUUGAGAAAUCAUUGUUAACUUCUGGUCUUGAGUCAUCUAGCCCCCUGGGAGUAAUAAAUUUUUAACUGUUAAAAGGACAAGCAGAAAGGAGGAAAUAUCGGCGAUAUAAAAGAUAAAAAAGUAAAAUUACUUCCAACGGAUUCUGUUCUUGAGUUUCUUUUCAAUCAGCCCGAUCCCUUCAAGAACAUUUGUUAUGUCAUAUAUUCGCCUCUUUUGCACCUGAAAGAUCCGAAGUAAUUGACUAAACUUUGCCGAAAGAAUAGCAUUUCACAUAACUAUGUUAGUAAUGACCAGCUAACCUCCAAUGUCUCUGCAGCUUUAUUCAAAUCAAGGAUGCCAUCUUGUGCAUGCUUAAGCAAAUUGAUGAACUUUUUUGUCAAUAGUCCUACAAAGCAUUACAAUGUAAAAUUAAGUAUGACAAGACAGUAAAUCUUCAUAUAGGCUCUUCAUCUCUAGAGCUGCUGAACUUUCCCAGAGUCGAAGAUACACUACAACUGAUUGGAGUCAUAAGGCUAAGAGUGUUGUAGUUACCUAGAGAGCUGUCAUAACGACAGGUACCGACUGGUGUGAGAGGAUUGCUAGAAGGGGAACCUGGAAAGACAAAAAGAUACAGCUUUUAGUCUAACAUAAAGCGCGCACACACACACACACACACACACACACACACAACCUAUAUACUCUGCAAAAUUAUCUCGUUAUUGAUAUAUCCUUGCAAAAAUUGAGCGUCUUUGUGCCCUUCAGAAACUUAAAGUUCACAUAUUAAAGCUUAAAUUCUAGACAUAUCAGAACUUAAAUUCUACAUAUGUUUCCAGUACUGACAAAAAUGCACCCAUUCAAAAAAAAAUUUGUUAGUAGAAACCAACCUUUUCAAGUGAAUUGUAUCCUUCCCACCUUCACAUGGGAGUAUUUUUUUCCAAGAAACUACACAUUUGAGGAGUCUAUACAGAUAUUAAAAUUUUACUAGGGUAUACAUGUAAAAGAUGAUUUUACAUGGAUAAACAUAUGUAAAAGCUCAUAAAGCAAGCAGGAGCUGUUUAACAAAUAAGCCUUUCCUCAUAAAAAAAGACAGAAGUGAUAAAUAAAGAUCAGAAGGCCAGUAUUCACCAGCAUUUGACAUAGGGGUAUGAGGCCCAGCUUUAUUGUAUUUUGGAGCCUUUGACUUGCCAUGCACUCUACCACCUUUUCCAGAUACUGGAGUAAGAAGUGGACUGCUAACUGCUUCAGCAUAUCCUGGACUAGUUGUCCACUCACUCGAUUCAGCAGCUUCAUUUUCUUCCUGAUCAGCUUUUCGUUUCAACUGCACAGAAAAGAUCAUCACCAAGAGCAAUAUGGUCAGUAAGACAUCUAUGUAUGUGUUUCAGUAGGGGUUAUAUACGUUCAAUCUCUGCCAACAAUAAGGAUCUGAUUGUUAUAUAACUUUAAAGCACCAGUAUAGCACAACCACACACAGCCUUAGACCACAGGCUGGGAGAAUGAUUGAGGCCAUCUACUUACCACAAAAAGUUCCAGAAAAAUGAGAAAAGAAGCAAGAGCAGUCAUCAAACUUUCUCAUUGACCAGAAAAAACCAUAGUAAAUAUAGCAGGAGUCCGCCAUUUUGGUGACAACCCACCACAAAAAAGACUACUAAAUUUCAACAUUAACAGCGACAUAAAGAAAAUAUUUAUAAAUCCUGUUCAGUUCAAAAAAAAAAAAUCCAGUAGCUUAGUGUACAUCUAGUAAGGUAAAACUUCUGAGUUACAUCUUUCACAUGAUUUCAGUUAAAUUCCAGAUUACACUGUGAUGGACACCGAAAAAUUAAUAAAAACAUGUCUGAUCCAAGGCAUCCCCUUGCAUUCAAACUUCUAUGAUGAUUAAACAAAUCUUUAUUCUUUUUCGAAUGAGUCAUAUAACAUGAGGUAUAAGACAAUUCUAAAGAAGAAACGGCUAAAUUGGUUAUGAGAACACAUGCGCAAAUUUUGCUUAUAAUGAUCUUUCAACCUAGAAGGAGAGCAGUGCAAUAUGGUUGCGACAUUCCAAACGGUUCCUCUCAAUAAAGUGAUCUGCACUCUGAUUUACUAGAUAUGAAAUGCACAUUUUUCACACAAACCUAGAUAAUAAUGAUAAUAAUGGAUCUAACUGUCAACACACACACACACACACACACAUAUACAUACAUACAUACAUACAUACAUAUAUAUAUAUAUAUAUAUAUAUAGAGAGAGAGAGAGAGAGAGAGAGAGAGAGAGAGAGAUAACUCAUAGAGUUUACAUUGUAGGAAGAAGAAUGUAGAUCCAUUACCUUUAAAAUCCAAACCUCUAAUUUCAAUUCCUUUCAACUCAUAAAAGCCAUCACCACAGGCAACCACUGAUUAACAUACACCAUGGCUUGAAUCCGAACUAGCAAACAACUAGAGAAAUAUUUCUCCACCAAUCAACUCUACGGGUGGCAUGACCUUUCUCUGUCAGGAGCCAUGGCCUCUACAGAAGUAGUUACAUGUGCAACUUCAAGAGAAACCACAUGUUCAACUAUAUACAAGUUAGCAUGCUUUUCUGCUGAAGUGUCAUAAUAUGUGUAGAGAAUCACAAAUUUGAUAAGAAAUCAAGAAAAUCAAACAGGUUAUCCCAAAUUAUUAGUGGAAACUGUUAUGAUCACUUAGUGGAGACAAGAAGAGAAAAGCUGUGCAGCAAAAAGUAUACGACCUUGGAGUGGCAUUAUGAGAGCGAAAAAGGGAUCUGGAAAAGGGCUUUGACAGAAGGAAAAAAAAAAAAAAUUACUGCAGAACGGAAGUAGGUAAGUAACUUAGAACUCUUUCCCCUCAAUAAAUAACCUAUCAAAUAGCUUGUCCUAGUGUUAUCGUCCUUUAGGCUGCCGAGCAUCAACUGAUUAACCUAAAAAAGAAAGAUCCGACCUAAGCAAAAUCCUCAAUUUAGUAUCCCAGUAAACAAUCGCGAGAUCCUACCAUUGAGCUUAGCUCCCAACACUGUAGAAGCCCUUUGAUUUAGGCUGAUAAAAUCACUAACAAGCAAAAGAUCCGUAAAUGGAAGAGAGACAUUUUAGCUCAUCUCCAACAGCAGCAAAAAAAUUAGGAUCUAGAAAGGGCAACAAAAGAUACGGCAAAAAACAGCACAAACACUUCGAAACCAAAAGCCGACCCUUCAAACCAAGCAAUUUCUCACCAAAGCAACCAUUUCUACUACCAUCGAACGAUAAAAUAAGCAUCGGAAAGAGCUAAACCACACAAACCCUCAAUCAAACGAGAUCGUGUCUCCAGUCUUAGCACAACAGACUAAAACGCACAAGCCACGACACGGAACUCACGGGAGUCUUAAUAACCACGGCCUCGGCCAUGUCGUCGGCGGCGGCGGCGACGCGGCGGCCAUCGGCGGCGGAGAAGCGGUGGUACUCGUCCGGCGCAGGGAACGGCGGCCUGGCCGACGGGAACGGGAGGUGCCGCCGCAGCGGCUGGAAGAUCUUCUGCCCCGAUUGCUGGUUCCCAGCUGCUCGGCCCCCACCGGACAUCAAAUCCGAGCAAUCGAGACCCAAAAUCUCACCUGGAACCCCCCGAUCUUCCGAUCGAGCCCCAAAAACCCGAUCAAAACCCCGAUCGAUGGCGAAAUCCGGGGCCCAAACCCUCGAUUCGGAUCGGAAUCGGCGUGGGAUCCGCGGAGGAGCUCCGAUCGGGGAAGGGGAUCUCGGGGGGGCGUCGCCGCCGCGCGGGGAUCGGCGGCGGAGGCUAGGGUUUCGAUCCGGGAUCUGGGGAUUUUGGGGGAGGAGGAGGAGGAAGAGGAGAGAGAGGCGAAGAGGAGUGAGGAGGUUAAAAAAGCGGAGAGAGCAGAAAACGAGGGAAGGGAGGGAAAUUAUAGUUCGGACUUCGGAUAGAUAUGGAGGGAAGGGGCGUGCGAGUGUAAUAUUAGAAAUAAAUAAAUUAAAAAAAAAAACAAUUAUAUAUUAAAAAUGGCGGAAAAACGAAAUUAGAAAUUUCCCCCGUAAAUUAACGAACCACGCUACGUGGUCGCCGGCGAUUGGACGACGAUGACAUUAAGAAAUGUUGGGGGGGAUUUUUUUUUCUUUUUUUCGUUCGAGGGGUUUUUAUUUAUUUAUUUAUUUUCUGUCGGAUGCUAAAUAUUAACGGGUCGGAUCCUCCGACCUGUGACCCGGACUGGAGACCAACCGCUCAAAUCGCUCGGCUUAUGGGGUUCGAAUCGCCGAUGCCCGCGCUUUGGAUCGUCGUUUGCUCACGAUUUUUUUGGAGGAAACCCUAAUACCCGCGGAAAUGUCACAUGAACCCGGUGUACCCGUACAUUUAUUAUAGUAUACUAUUAAUAAAUCUCUAUCAAAAAUGCCUAAAAGAUUUAGAGUUUAAUUACAUUUCAUAAUAUCAAAAAUUUAUAAACUAUAAAUUUUAGAUUUUAAAUAUAUUUUUAAAAAAAUUGUACUGUACAUUCCCGACUUUCGGGAGUCAUAAUUAGCAUGCUAAAAUCAGAAAGAAUAUUUUUUUUCUUUUCAAAUUUAACAUUUUUUUUUAUAAUAUAAUUUUUUUUUUACGAUUAUGUUAUAAUUUUUGAAACAAUGCCCAUGGAAUGACACUCUUGAUCAUAACUUUUAUUUAAAAUUGCAGAUAAAAUAAAUUAUAUGCAAUAGAAAAGGCACAAUUAAAAAUUAUUCAAUUUUUUUUUUUACAAAUAAUAACAUAUUACACAAAUCAUACCAAUUCAUUUAAAAUUAAUUUUUACGAUGUGAUAAAAAGCUGAGUAACAUAUCUCUAUAUAUGAUUUCGCUCCAACAUUUUUGUGCUAAUAGUGGUUGAUAGUUCUUAUAGUAUCAAAUUAAUCCUUGAUACACUAAAUAUUUAUUGCGGCCUAUUCGAUUUUGAUACACGCGGUGCAUGGAAUAUUUUUUUAAUGGGGGAGUGGGCCCAGGGCUCGCCCACGCCGUCGGAUUUGGCGGGCGCUUUUCGCCCUCGUCGGGUCGGGGGGCACGUGCGGCGACGCGCCACGUUCUCGGUGUCACGUGACCGUGGGGGUGUUAACUCGCAAUUGGACCGCACUGUACGCACGGAUGGUUUCUGCGGCCAUCGUAACUCCGUGACCGUAUGUUGUCGUUUUUUGGCCGCAUAAUUGCUCGGAUCCGACCCAAUGCUGGUCCGGACCACAUUUAGCAAUUUGCUCAAUUUGCCCCAUAAUGGUCCGGACCAGUACUGUAUUUGUUCGUACAUUACGUAAUUUUUAAGUUUACUCGUAUGGUUAAAAAAAAAAAUAGGACAUAAGAAAUGGAAAUGUCAAAAAAAUUUUGGAUUCGUAAAUUCAUGUAUGGUAAAAAUCUCACUUAUUUUUGCUUAGUUUAACAUAAUACUAGUAGCAUUGGAAUUAAAUAGAAAUUGUAGCAUUGCUUUGUUUUAAUGUAACUCGUACAACAAUAGUUCUAUACAUAUUCUAUAAGCGAAAGUGAUUUUCACCAAUUGGUUUUUUUUAUAUUAUUUUUUAUUACUUUUUAUCCUGUGUAAAGAACUUUGGAACAUUUAUAAUAAAUCAACAUAAAAAGGANGAAAUAGAUAGCACGCUACCCGCUUCGUUUAUUUUAUUUAAAAAUAAACUUAACUGAAAAUGUGGAUCAACUAGGAUUCGAACUUGGGUUUCGGGUACUAACCACCAAGCCCUUUGCCACUUGUUCUAGGAACGGUCGGUGAGAAAGGAUUAUUAACUUGAUGAAAAUUGACUUUUCCUAUAAACUUCAUUUUCUCAUUUGUUUUUUGAGACAAAAUUUCUCAAAAACCUUCUUAUGAACUCCAUUUCUCAAAACUGCAAUGGCACUAAAUGUGAUUUGAAAGUAUUUAUGCUGCGCAACCUCUUCCAAUAUUUUAGUUCUGUUGGGCCAAUAAGGUGCGGACACGUGGUACACCGGUACUCCACUCAACUUUAUUUAAGAAUAGUAAUGUUGUAGUGCACCAGGAGCAGCGGAAGAAUUUUUAAACAAACCACUGUGCAAAUUAAGGGAAGUUACAGUAACCGCGAGCAAUUACAAGCGGUUCCGAUCGGCUGAAAAUAGCCCGAGAAAAUAGGGGUAGUGGCCGAUCAUGAAUAUACAAUAACUGAUUAACAAGGGCGAUCUAUAAAUAGGCCAAUAACACCUUAAAAAAGAGUCUUUUCUCCGUAAACAGAAGACCAUCUUUAUUUUCUUUACAAUUUCUUCGCAUUUCUUAUGAGUAGUUUACUUGUAACAUUUUACUUUCCAGCCUUUAUUGUUUUUCUCUAGGAGUAGAAGUAAACUAAAUCAACCGAGUCUGUAUGUCCUCAGGCACACUCGAUCCAUGUACUCUUCCUCAAGUUAAUUUCAAAGAUAUUUAAAGUUUUUUGGCUUUUUAAGGUGAUCAAUCACUGUGUUUUCAUCCAUUCGGCUCUUUGGCCAACCCUAGUUUUUGUGCAAUCCAUAUAUUCGGCUCAUCCAGUCGAACCGAUUCCAUAGUAGAGGUUUUGAAACUCGGCUGAUUCGAUCCUUCAACAGCCAAAUCGCUUGAUCUAGUCGAUGGACGCAAACUUCGAGGGUCAUUAAUCAUAGUCGUUCCGCACCCUGCAUCAUUUCCGAGGGAGAUCUUUGACCAGGUCAAAGAUCAGAACGUACGGCUACCAACAAGUUCAAAUUACUUCAUAUGUAUUUCAAUCACACAAACUAAAUACAUACAAAAUUAUCUAACAAGUUUAGCAAUUCUAACCCAAAAAAUAUAUAUAUAAAUUUUAUAGGAAUUCCAAUACGAGUGACUAAUGAGCAAAUAACAUGUAAUGGGUCAACCCGCUAGCAAUAAUAAUUCGUUAGGUACAAACCACUGAUUCAAAAUGCCUUUUUUUUUUUUUGAGAAAAAAUGCCUAUUAUUACUAGCAUGUAUACCGCAUAUAUUUUAAUGAGAAUUACUUUUCCACCCGAUGUAUGCCUCAUAUAUUUUAAUGAGAAUUAUUUUUCCACCCGAUAUGGUAGACUUGACCAGAAUUACCAGUCGAUAUGAGAUUCUAGAGGUGGCUCCUCCAACUAACAUUCGGCUUUGAUACUAAUUGUAACGGCCCGACCCGCUAACAAUAAUAACUCGUUGAACCCAAACCACCGGCCCAAAAUGGUAAAACCUGGUUAUUAUUGCUCGUAGGCUUCAUAUAUUCCAAUUAGAAUUAUUUUCACAUUCGAUGUGGGAUUAGAUCACAAAUACAUACCAGAAUUGUAAGGCAAUGUGAGAUUCUAGAGGUGGAUCUUACGGGUUCAAGUUGGGUCCAAACUAUAUCACAGAAACUGGUCAGAAUUACCAGACAAUGUGAGAUUUUAGAGAUGGCUCCCACGGUUUAAGAGGUGACUCCUCCAGCUAGUAUCCGACUUUAAUACGAAUUGUAAACAACAUGACCCGCUAGCAAUAAUAACUCGUUGGAUCCAAACCACCGGACCAAAAUACUUAAGCCCGAUUAUUAUUAAUUGCGUGUAGGUCUCGUAUAUUCUAAUUGUUAUGAUUAUUUACGGGAAAAAAGUAUAGAAUAGUAGUUUUUUUUUUUUACUUAUGUUGCAACUGAUGUAGCCCUACAAAAGUUAUUCUAAACUUACUAUUUAAUCUAAUUAUUUUUUGACAAUACAUCCUAUUGCUUUUUCUAAUGUAUAAAAUAGCCCAAUUAUGAUUCCAAAAAGAGCAUGCUAAAGAUUAAUGCUUCUUCAUUCAGCAAAUGUAGCAAAUAUAUAAUCAAAAUCAAAAAAUAAAAAUCCCUACCAUUUAAAUUUGGACCCGUAUAAUACGUUGUACGGUAAAGUGUAAAGCCAUUGUUUACGCUAUACGUACGAAUAUACGCUCCCGCUCGAUACCGGAUCGUGUGGCUCCGAUCAUCCCCUAUUUAAAAACCCUGAUCCCCAUUUCACCCAAUCCCCGUCCCCAAAACCCUCUCUCCUCUUAUCCACACCACACUCCGUGACCGAAGCGAGAGAGAGAGAGAGAGAGAGAGAGAGAGAGGGAGCUCACCUCCGUCGCCAUGGCCAUGGCUUGCGCGUUCUCCUCCAUCGUCUCCUCCUCCAACCCAAGAACCCUCUCCUCCAACUCCUCUCCCAUGGCGUCGCUCCCCCCCGCUCCCGUGUCCGUUCCCAAAACCCUAGCAGUUCCGAGGAGCUUCCACGGCCUUCGGAAGGGUUUCCACCCGCGCCCUGCUCCAUCGGUCUCCGCUCCGAGAUCGGCGAAGAGAAGCUUCGUCGUGAAUGCUUUGAACGGGGUAUUGUUCUUCUCCUAGCUACAUUUAUCGCACUUCGUUGUGGUUGAAUGCUUUGUGCUUUGUUAGCCUUAUAUUUCUUAUCCUAUUUGCUUAUUUUUCCAAAAUAUGUGCGGAUGCAGUUCUUAUUUGGUUACCUACGAUCAUGCUUAGUAGAUUUUGCAUAUUCGAGUCCACAAAUAGUCGAAUUCGUCUAUAAACGGUGUCUAAGUGUUAUUUCGUAUGCGGUCCCUUGGUUUCUAUGAAAUGUUCACUGAGUAUAUGGCUUUUGUAGAGUGAUUUGCCAUUGGUUGGAAAUAAAGCACCAGAUUUCGAGGCGGAAGCAGUUUUCGAUCAGGAAUUCAUCAAGGUAUAGCAAUUGAUAGUAGCGGCUUUUGAUUUGAAGUCCUUUGUUUUUGCUGUCUUUUGCUUUCUCUUCUGCUUUCAACUAUGUGUGAUAUUGAAUGCUGAAAUGUAAUUUUGCCCUUAGUCACUGUUAUCCAUAGUUCUAUUCUUUUUUUUUUUUGGAGUGAUAGGCGCUGUAAAUGUAGUUGUUGCUAACUCUUCUCUCUUUGUUUGACGCUUCGAAGUAUCCUGUAAGAUAUUGUGCAAUGCAGUUUCCAGCUUACUCUUGUAAUGCUCUCAAAGAAGAAUGACUUUGUGAUAUAUUAUAGUAAAUCAGUGAAUCACACCACUUAUAUCUAUUUUUCAAAUACUAUUGGUCCUUUUGACAGGACAAGUGUCAUUUUGAUUUACUUCUUUUGAGUUACUACUGAUGCAAAAAUGCACCCUUUGUCUAACUUGUGUUUGUUUCCAUCCUUUUUAUCUAUUGCCUUUUUAUCUAUUUUGUGUUAAAUUCUUCUAGUUAAUUUGAUAAUCUGUUAAAAUAGCUGAUGUAUUUGACAAACACCAAGGAAUUUCCUGUGACCUGACGUAGAAUAAAUAUAAAAGAUAAUAAUUGAGUUUUAGUGUUUGUCUUUUAUGGCCUUCGGCAAGUACAUCCCAAAUAAGGACCCCCCAAAAAUCAAUUAGUCCAUCUGGCACGUCUGCCCUUAUAAAUUAGGUGUAACUAAGUAGGAAAUAGCACUUUAUGAAGCCUGCUCAAGAAUUGGAUUGGAAAGAGGAAAUGAUAAGAUUUUGGAUGCCAAUUUUCACUAUGGUGCAAUGCGUUGAUUCUAUCAGGAAUUUGAGAAAUUUUCUGUUGUCUCUAUCUUUAUUCCUUCCGUUAAAGCAUAAUUGAUUGGAAAUAUUCAUUUAAAGUCUUUAAUAAUUUUGGUCAUGCUGUUACAGGUCAAACUCUCGGAUUAUAUCGGGAAGAAAUAUGUGAUUUUGUUUUUCUACCCACUGGACUUCACAUUUGUUUGCCCUACAGGUAAACGCUUCACAUUUACUGACAUUCAUCUUGAUUUUGGUGGGCAAUUUUCCAGGAUAGUUUGUGUAGAACAAUUUUUUUUAACCCUUUUCUGUUUUUGAUUUUCUGUGCAGAGAUUACUGCUUUCAGUGACCGGUAUGCAGAAUUUGAGAAGGUUAACACAGAAAUUCUGGGCGUUUCAAUUGACAGUGUGGUAAAUUACUCUUUUCCAUUUUAAACUUUCAUUCGUCUUUUGGCCUACUAUUUUCAAACUAAAGUAUCAACUGCAGAAUAUAGACACUUUAAAAUUUUUUGUCAUUUCUAACCUGAACGUUCCAUGGACAUGUGUCUAUUAUGUGUGCAUUGCGUGCCCCUUGUCCUCCUGUCAUUCAUCAUGCGUCCAUCGUGUAUCUACUGCAUGUCCUCGUGAUCAUGCACGUCCAUUGUAUGUCCAAAGGGUGUCGAUUACAUCCUGUAAAAGAAAAUGAAGAUACUUGAGUACUCAAUUUUCUAUUCCAGUUCACAUAGUUUUCUAAGUGAUUGCUGACAUAAAAUUAAAUAUUCGAGUUCUUUAUAAUAUAUUGCUAAUUCUUUGGAUUGAAGAUAUGCUUUAAAUUACCACCGUGAUUGUUGAUUUAAACUUUUCAAUUAAGACUGAUCAGUUGCUUUCUUUAGUGAGGAAAUCAUUAUGUUAAUGCUGUUUCUUCUAAAAACAUAAUGAGAAUGUAUUCAGAUAGAUCCGUUUAUUACCAAGUUGACGAGUUGGUGUGUCCAAGUUGUGCUAUGUCAUGUAUCCGCCUAAGUUAACUUUCAUGCAUUGCUGAUAAAAUUUAAGGCACAGGAGAAAUGCCGUGAGAAAUGAUCAUUGAUGAAUUAUGAUUUGUUUUUAUAAUUUAAAAAUAAAUUAGAAGUGGUUAAAAGCAGAAAUCAUUUGUACGUGGAUCCAAACUUGUGUCUUUAACGUGUAUCUCUGAUUCUGAUAUUAUGGUACCUAUUGAAUAAUUUGUAGAUUAUACGCUACAUAGGCUAAUUAGUAUAGAGUAUUUAAAUGUGUUAACACGUAAAUUUGUAUCUCUUAUACCAUCUUGUUUGUGAUUUACUUUCUUCUGGAUAUGUAAUCUGUCUUAUAAUACUGUAACUAUUUGCUUUGUGCAGUUCUCCCACCUUUCUUGGGUUCAAACUGAUAGGAAGUCAGGGGGCCUCGGAGAUCUGAAGUAUCCCCUGAUUUCUGACUUGACAAAAUCAAUUUCAAAAUCUUAUGGUGUCUUGAUUCCUGAUCAGGUGCCAAUUUGUUUAUGUAGUAUUAUUUGGUUAGCUGAAGUUCUAUUCCAUAUGGUUUAGAAUUUUUUGGCUAUAACUACUGCAGUGGAAAUGUGGAAUGAUUAAUAUCUGUAUCGAAAGACUUUCUUCAGUUUCCUGUUAAAUCUGACAGGGUAUAGCAUUGCGAGGAUUGUUUGUCAUUGAUAAGGAAGGAGUGAUUCAGCACUCUACUAUCAACAAUCUCGCCAUUGGUCGUAGCGUCGAUGAAACCAUGAGGACUCUUCAGGUAAAUUAACAGCAAGAAUCAGAAUUGGAUUUUGCAUUGAAGUUUUGUGAUUGUUAACUUGUUUAUAUAGUAAUAGCAUCAAAACUUGUAUGGUCGCUAAGAACUGUAUUUUUAUGCGUGCAGGCAUUACAGUAUGUCCAGGAGAACCCAGAUGAGGUUUGCCCUGCAGGAUGGAAGCCCGGGGACAAGUCGAUGAAGCCGGACCCGAAACUCAGUAAGGAGUACUUUGCGGCUAUUUAGGUUUGAAAAGCAAAAUUGGCGAUUGUUGUAUUGUUUGUUAGAGGUACAAAGGAGUUAUUUAUCAACCUGCGAUGUGUCCCAUCCUUUAUGAGUCUGGUAAAUGUGCAUCAGUAUCUUGAACAUUUCCUCCGACAACUCUCUGUUUUUUUUUUUGAAUAAUAAAAGAUUAGUUUUUACUCUUUAGGUUGUUACAUAGGUGUUUUCUUGACGGUAAUUAUAGACCUUACUUGUACUGUAACACUUGUAGGUAUGUUAGAACUAACUGCUUUUAAUUAAGAAAGUGAUAGAAUAUUCUCUCAAGUAACAAAUCUGUCAGGUUACAGAAUAUUCUGUUAGAGAGUUAAAAAAACACCAGUAUGUGCUGAUUAAUGUAUUCAAAUUCAACACUAUAAAGUUGAGUGGUAGAACCAAAAUUUUAAAAAUUAAGUUGCCCAUUUGAAAACGUUCUUAGAGUUCAUGUAAGAUCUGAAAAUUUUCGCCUAUAAUUGAAACAUCUAAUGUUCCUGUUGUGGUCCUUAAGCUGGAUUUUGAUAGAUCCAAAAUGAUGAGAACCCAUCGCUAGGUUAUAUUGUUCUGUCUUCUUAGGGCACAUUUUAAUGCUGAAGUUUAUUUAUUCGCUGCAAAUAAGCGGAUUAUGUUGUCUAAGAUGUGAGAAAUGAGUGAAAAUACCGAAGAAUACAUGUCGGUCGUCGCUACAACGUUCUGUUGCUUCUCCUUCUGCUAGAUGAUGGGUGUUAAAGAGUGCUUUGAAACUUCGACGUCAUUGUUUGGUCCCAAGAUAGUGAAAAAGUAGUGUUUGGGACCAAAAUUAUAUUUUGGUUUUGUUAAUAUGUACAUAAGGUCCAUCAGUUUAACUUAGAAUUUGAGUUCAGUAAAUUUAAUAUCAAAAGAGAGUUGGUGAUUCUUUUAUAUGUACCUGCAUAACCUUCUACUUUCUUUUAAAUUAAUAUAGCUAGCAAAUUUACUGCAGUGUUACAUAUGAUCUUUUGCACAUGAUCUUAACGUAGCCUUAUUGUUUUACGAGCAUUAAAACUAUUCAUAUGAUAAUGCUACUAGAUGGUUUCAGAAACGUCUUAUCAUAGUAGGUACUAUACUGGGGAUUCUUUUGGACAAGUAAUGCCAUAUUAGUGCUUUUAGUUUUCACUCCAUGUGGUUCUUUACUUAAAAGAAGUACUCCAAAUGAUAGAGUUUGAUUUGGGACAUAGAAAAGAUAAGAUUGUGAACUAAAAAAAUAUUGGGGGAAAAAAAAAAGAAAGAAAAAGUAGAAGCCUACUUUUCUUUUACAUCUAACAUGCAUUGCUUGUUGUGCCAAAAUUUUUUAGUAGUUGGUAACUGCUAAUGAUUGUGUAGGGAGUUAAAAUUGUGAGAUUCUAUGGUAUCCCUUUAACUACAUUCCUUUUCCUUUGAUGCACAUCUUUUGUAGCAUUGCAAGGUACUUUUCCCUUUCUAUUAUUAGACUCAUGCACAUUUAGUUUCUUUUGGACCAUGUAAGGAAAAAGCUUUUGACUGUGACCUGGAUUAAUUUGAAGAUAAAAGCGCAUUGAAAGUUUGUAAUUAUUUCCUUUAUUUCUUUUGAGCCAAAUGUUCUAGUGCUAGUUUAGUUUUAUGGGUAACGAAAAGAAAAUCUGUGUUGUUUUACUUAAACAGAUUAGUCGCUAAACUUAUAAAAUUUCUCGCAAUCUUUGUCCUGUUAAUUAGAAUUCGGAAAAGUUUUUUCUGUUCAAGUUGAAGAAUAUGAAAUCAAAUUACAAUUUCAGAGCAGUAAAUACUGAUUCCUGCAAUUUUUAUUUCUCGAGUAAAAGAAGACACCAUGAAUAUAGAGGAAGAUGUCUUGGAAAUUUCACGUAUUUUUUUUAAAAAAAAUCAUAUAUAAAUAAUCUCCAACGGAGAAUGUGGAGCUCUACUUUCUAUGCAUAUUUACCAUAUCAUGGAUCAAUACCAAUCCAAACAUCAUAAUCUACAACUAAAGUGUGUUUUAACUUUAAUAAAACGUGUCAGUGCCUUAGAAAAAGCAAAUCAACAAUGUUUUAAAAUGCUUCAAAAAAAAAGUUAUUAAAGUGUUUAUAAAUUUUGGUGAUGUAUAGGGUGGCGGUGCUACUAUUGAUCCUUGUUGUAUCACUAUCACACCCACCCACAAAAUUAACCAAGAGAAGGGACAAAUGUGUGAUGCUCAAAAGCUCUAGCUUUUUCUGAAAUGUUGAUUUUUGUGCGUUUUGAAACUGCAAUUUCCCACAACGCAGAGAUCUAAAUUUUUUGCGUUGGCUCGCUUUAUUCCUCAUACGCUUUUAGUCCAGAGGAAAGGAAUUAAGCCGUACACAGUUACCUAUUCUUUUGGGCCCGGGUCCACAUUUUAAAGAGGUUUUAUACUAUUUCUAUCCAUUUUUAGUAGGCCCUGUUAUAGUUUUAUAUACAUAUGAUCAUAGUUACAGGCCCACAUUUUAUUUAUAUGGCAUUAAUGAGCCAAGGAAGGUACCAUUAUUAAUUGAACAAGUAGGGUUAAAGUUUUUUUAAAAAAUUUUUUAUAUCAUUAUGUUGGUUAUCUAUUUGGCAUAGUUUUCGCAAUCACUUUUUACACAUAGAAGCAGUAGUUGGAUGUUUGCUAAUAAAAAGUUCAUAGCUAGAAAUUAGAAGAAAGAGAGUAGAGAUCGACCGAGCCUUAUUUCAUCAACUCUUUAGUGAUAAUCUCAAUCUUUUGACUAAGAGUUACUCGAUUUUAACAUGUACAUAGAUUUGGUACUAAAAUCAAAAUUAUCAAAGCGCAUGGAUGGAUUUACCUCCAAAAAGAAAGAAAAGAAAAUUGAUGCCCAUUUCAGAAUUGGUUUUAUAUCUCAGGAAUGGUUAAGUAUGACUUUAUAUCAAUUCCAAUAAGUUGUUAAAUCAAUCAAGAUAAAUUAAGAGAGAGAGAGAGAGAGAGAGAGAGAGAGAGAGAGAGAGAAGAGAGAGAGAGAGAAGGGCUGUGUCAUUGGAUCCUGGAUGUCCCACCACAUGCCUUAAACACACUUUUCCCACCACAAAAUCCACUUUGGACCCAAAUUCACCCUCCCCUACAAGAAAAGAACCAUAAAUAUAUAUAUAUAUAUAUAUAUAUAUAUAUAUAUAUAUAUAUAUAUAUCCCUCCCACCCCCUCCAAAAAGCAUAUAUAGAAGCUCAAAAGAACUGAAUAUAAAGCAGAUAGCUACUUCCACAUAACCAUCACUUCAACUUCCCCCACUCUCUCACCACUGCAGUCUCACACUCACCACACCCCCCCCCAACCUAGCUCUCUUAAUCAAUCAAACACCACCAUUAAUUUCCAUAGAAAUUAAGAAGAGUAGCACAGUAGCUAGAGAUGAGAGCAGGAGGGUGCACAGUGCAACAAGCCCUAGCCCCGGAGGCGGCGGCUAUCGUGAAGCAGGCGGUGAGUUUGGCGCGGCGGCGGGGCCACGCGCAAGUGACGCCGCUCCAUGUCGCCAGCGCGAUGCUCUCCUCCUCCGCGGGGCUGCUCCGCGCCGCCUGCCUCCGGUCCCACUCCCACCCCCUCCAGUGCAAGGCCCUCGAGCUCUGCUUCAACGUCGCCCUCAACCGCCUCCCCGCCGCCGCCGCCGCCCCCCCGAUAUUCAGCCACCACCACCAUCACACUCACUAUCACCAGGCGAUGUCGCUAUCGAACGCGCUCGUUGCAGCGUUCAAGAGGGCCCAGGCGCACCAGCGCCGCGGAUCGCUAGAAAGUCAGCAGCAGCAGCAGCAGCAACAGACGAUCCUCGCCGUCAAGAUCGAGCUUGAGCAGCUCGUAAUCUCAAUCCUGGAUGAUCCGAGCAUUAGUAGGGUGAUGAGGGAGGCUGGUUUCUCCAGCACACAAGUGAAGUGCAUGGUGGAGAAGGCCCUUUCCUUAGACCCUAACCCUAACCCUAACCCUAGCAAGCCCAAGGAGGUGGUUAUAACCACCACUACUCCUUUUAGCCCAACCCAGGUGAGCAAAGCUAGGGUUUUGGAUCAUCAAGUGGUGAUCAGGAAUGAAGAUGUUGUGAGCAUCUUGGAGUGCAUGGCUACAAGGAGGAAAAGGAGAAUUGUGGUGGUGGGUGAAUGCUUGGCCACCAUGGAAGGAGCUGUUAGAGUGGUGAUGGAUAGAGUAAGCAAGGGAGAGGUCCCUGAGAGCUUAGGUACCAACCUGCAGUUCAUACCAAUUCAACUACACUCAUUCAAGCACUUACCAAGGGAGGAGGUGGAUCUAAAACUUGGGGAGCUGAGGUGCCUUGUGAAGAGCUUUUGUGGAGGGAAUAAGGGGGCAGUUUUGCUGUUGGAGGAUCUAAAAUGGGCUUCUGAGUUUUGGGCUAGUUGUUUGGAGAAGGGAAGAGGCCACUAUUGCCCUGUGGAGCAUGUGAUCAUGGGGAUUAGGAGCUUGGUUUGUGGCUUAAUUGAGGGUUUUUGGCUUAUGGGUUUUGGAACUUAUGAGACCUACAUGAGGUGUAGUGGUGGAAACCCUUCUUUGGAGGCUCUCUGGGGUCUUCAGGUUCUCACCAUUCCUAAUUCAAACCUGGGAUUGAGCCUCAACUGUAGCAGGUACAGAUUUGGUUUCUAUUCUUAAAUCAUCAUUAAUACUAUGUAAUCAAAUUGCACAUACUUUUUUAAUCUCUGUACUAUGUAUAUAUAUAUAGAGAGAGAGAGAGAGACCUCCCUUCUAAAGCUUCUUAGAAUAUUUGAUCAGUUUAGGAAUGAACUUUUGAAUGCUUUGUGAUUUAAUUAUGCCACCUUAUGUGCAGUGCUUCAUUAUUUAAUUCUCUGCUUUUCUUACCUCUUUGCUUAAUUUUCUUGAUUUUGUAUUAGUUUCUAAAUGCAUGUGUCUCUCAGUAGAAAUGAAGAACAUGCUAGAUUUAUCAGAAAUCAACAAAACGGAAUUCAUAUUUCAAUUGUUAAAUUAUUUGAUUCUUUGUCACUUGCAAUUUGAACAAUUUCGUCGGAUUUAAUCUUGAAAGAGCCCUUUAUAUAUAUAUAUAUAUAUACUUUGGUACUUACAUAUUGAUCAAGCAUAGGUUAAUUAAAAAUAUUGGCUUUGUACUUGUUGCAGUGAUUCACUGAGCUAUGCUAAGGCCAAGAUAAGCGGAAAUGAAUCUUCGCUGUCCUUGUUAGAUGGCGGAGUCGAGAGUCAGCUUACAUGCUGCACCGAUUGCUCUUUCAAAUUCAAUAGCGAGGCUCGAAGCUUGAAGAACAUGUCUUACAGAAGCCACAGCUCCAUCGCCUCAAAUCUACCUUCAUGGCUCCAACAAUAUAAAGAAGAGAACUUAAACAGCAAUGAUCAGGUACACUUAUCAUCUGAGUCUCAUGUUAGUAGCAAUUACAGCAACCAAUAUUAAUAUAUUUCUAGUAAUUAAUAAUUUUUUUUGGCUUCUCUCUCUUGUAGGGUUGUCUCCAGGUGAAAGAUCUAUGCAAGAAGUGGAACUCCAUAUGCGGCUCAUCUUGUAGGAAUCGGCAUCAUCCAUCGGAGAUUACCCUAAAUUUCUCCUCACUAUCCCCGUCUUCUUCGAUAUCCUCCCAUGAUCAUAAGCCAUGGCCACUUCCUCUCGAGGCCAAACACCCGUGGAGCGAAGGCUACCCCCGGCUUUCGGAGAACAACGACGAAGGCCUCGGACCCGAUUCAAGAAGUAACUCCCAAGAGAUAAUUAUGGGACAACAGUGUAAUACAAACCCUAACCCUAACUCAGCUUCUUCAAGUGGCACAGUGCAUGGGGAGUGUCUUCCUAAGUUCAAAGAGCUUAAUGCUGAGAAUCUAAAGAUCCUCUGCGACGCGUUGGAGAAGAGGAUCUCAUGGCAAAAGGGUAUAAUCCCCGUGAUAGUGAGCGCAGUUCUCCGGUGCAGGUCAGGGAUGAAGAGGAGGAAAGGUGAGUCGAAGUCGAUGAGCGGCACCAAGGAGGAGACUUGGUUGUUCUUUCAAGGAGUUGAUACUAGUGGGAAAGAGAUUGUAGCUAGGGAGCUAGCAAAACUUGUUUUUGGUUCUUAUGACAGUUUUAUCUUGGUUGAGCUUAACACUUCCUCAUCGACACGGUCGGAUUCUAGUGAUGAUCGUGCAAACAAGAGAUCGAGAUUGGAGGCGAAAGAAAGCUAUCUCGAUCGACUCUUUGAAGCUAUUCGAGAAAAUCCGCACCGUGUAAUAUUGAUGGAGGACAUCGAGCAAGUUGAUUAUUAUUCUUUACUUGGUAUUAAGAAAGCAAUUGAGAGUGGAGUGAUUCGGAGUUACAAUGGCGACGAAGUUAGGGUUGGUGAUGCUAUCAUUAUCUUGAGCUGUGAGAGUUUCGACUCGAGAUCGAGGGCUUGCUCUCCUUCAGUUAAGCAGAAGGUGGAGAUGAGUGAGGGCGAGAAGGAAGAAUCAGAAGAGAUAAGCUCAUCCAUGUGUUUGGAUUUGAACAUUCGUAUCGAAGAAGAUGUGGAGUGUUUGUUCGAUAACGUCGGUCUCAUUGAAGCAGCGGAUCAAGUGGUCUUCUUCAGAUUGCCAGAGGAGUUGUGAUCUGAAGAUAUUUUCAUAUUUUUUUUCUUUCUUUCUGAAUAUUUCCUUCUCUUUUAAUCUUUUCUUCUUUUUUUCUUGUUUGGUGAGGUAUAAUUUAAAAAGAAAGAGGUUUUGGUUGCUUAAGUUAGAAUUAGGAAGUUGAAAUACUUGUAGCUUGUCCUGUGGUAUUGGUUUAUGGUUUUCUUUUUCCCUUUUUAUUUUUUCUAUAUGAAUCUCUAUAUAUUAUCAUAUCUUAGUUGCCAAUAUAUAUAUGUGACUGUUAAUAUAAUGCCAUUGACUGUGGCUAAUCAUAAAUUAAAUAUAACCUUAAUUCACCAUCCAAAUCUAUUCUCAUUAGGAACUCUUCAUCCACACUAAUACUAGAUUAUACACAUAAUUUUUUAAAAAUGGACUGCACAUAAAUGAAAAAAUCACUUUAAUCCUUUUCCUUUAAUUAGUUGGAAUUGGUUCUUAUUAAUUAUUGGUAGUUAUUUAUCACAUAAAGCAUAUGCUCAUUAAACCCUUCAUCUCUAAUCUGAUCAGACAACAGGAUCAUUAAUUUAAUUAAACACCACAUAAAUUAAACUAGUAUUGUAUUCCUCAGUAGGUUAUAAUGCAUGCACUAUCAGACACAAUAAAGCCUUGCUUGAUUAGGGAAUAAACAAGGUUUCCAAAAUCACAAUCACUAAUUAAUAACACAAUCACGAAUAGGCAACCCAACUUAGAUAUAUGGGACUAAAGUACCAACAUAAUGAUGGCAUGAGGCAUAUGUUACUAUUUCCCAAAUUAAAAGAAAAAAAUAGAAGGUGCAUAAUGAAGGAUUAAAGAAAGAUUCAUAACUUAGGGUUUGUGCAAAGGAGGGGUCACUUUAGGAGGCAAAAGCACAAUCUUCCUUAAGAAAUAUCAAAAGGGCACUACUUUUAAUGCAUUGCAAUACGAUUUAUUAAAAGAAUCCCUUUCCCUUGCUUUAGAUAUGCUAAACCUUACAUUCUCAUCUUUGGAAAGUGGUGGGUGUGUGUGAAAAAGCUCAACACAAAAUAAAGACACAGCAUCUGUGUUCUUUAUGCUAUAAAGUUGUUAGUGCCUUAGAAUCCAAAAAAGAUAAUCUUCUCUAAUCUCUUAACCUUUUUUUUUUUUUUUGAGAAAAAGGUAGCACGCUAUCUGCUUCAUUCAAUUAGACGAUGAACUAAGCUACAUGGGUGAGGCAGCAGGGCCUCGAGAAGGGCGAAAAAGCGAAAAGCAGGAAAAAAAAAACACCUAUCUAUAUAUAUAUAUAAAUAUAUUAACUCUUUUGAAGAGUUACCCAGUAUCAUUAUGUCUAUCUACUGGAAGGAGAUGCUCCCAAAAGCUCUUCAGCUGAUUAAUCUCUUAACCUUAUUAAAACUAAAUAUCUCCACUGUAAAUAGAGAAUUCGACGUUUGCGAAUUGAAAACAUUAUAUGUGAAUUAAAGCAUUAGGGUUUUGGUGAAUAUAUAUAUCUCAUAUGUAUGGAGUAGGAGGAAAUUUACUCUCCUCUUACAUGGUUAUAGAUUCUUCUCAAAAUCAGCAUUCUAUGUUCUGUCUCUUUUGAUUUACUGCAUGCUUUUGAUUUUUAUUUUGAAAGCCUCUUUAUCUUACCUCAGUUAAUAUACAUACAUAUACAUAUAUAAAUCGAUAUAUUAAUGCGCAUGCAUACAUGAUUUAAUAAAAAUCAUUAGAAAAACAAAAGACAAACACUAAAAUUUACUUAAAAAGUUUAAAGUGUUUUAGAGUUGUGAUUUAAUAUUUUAAUCUCAAAGUAUACAUGCAAGGAAACAAGCUAUUUUUAUCCCAAUAUAUUAACUUUCUCUACAUAUUAAUACCUUUUAAUUUGCUCACAUUUUUUAAGGAUAUUAAUGUGAAAAGUUGAGAGUAUGAAGACAUAUGUACUACUCUUGUAUCCCCAGGAUUACUAAAAUAUACGCUACUUGUUCCGGACAUAUAUAUAAUCCAACCAAAACAAAGCCUAUUUUCAUAUAUAUAUAUAUAUAUAUAUAUAGGGAUUCGGACAAUUAAUUUCCUAAAUUAUCUUUGUUACGCAUAUGAUCACACCUUUCUUUAAUUAUUCGGAUAAAAUCACUUCACAUCACCUCCUAGAUCACAACAAGUAAAUAUCAUGGACGUGAUCUUCCGUAGCUCAAAGUCCAAGAUAUACGCACGCUAUGCAUGUGCAUCGAACUUUAAUUGGAUACAUGAAAACAUACACUAUGGUAAAAUUUGGGGAAAAUUUUUAGCUUUAGGUGUCGAAUUAUAUUUAUUCAUGAAAAGCUAUUAAACAUGGUAUUAGUUAAAAACAAUCAUUCACAUAUGUUAUUGAUAUAAGGAUUUUAGCUAUCUAAUUAAAUAGUUUUUCAUUUGCAUGAUGGCAGAAAUUUCCAUAUAUNUAUAUAUAUAUAUAUAUAUAUAUAUAUAUAUAUAUAUAUAUAUAUAUAUAUAUAUAUAUAAACUAUCUAAUUACACUAUUCAGUAGCUGUCGCGUUUGCAUUUGCAUCGUACAUACACAUCGCGCUACUCUUCCUUUGUCGCUGAUAGUAUAUAUGAGUUAAUGGUAGAAGAGUGUAAUACUUCAUUGCAAAAUAUAUAAAUAAAGUAAAAGAAGAACAAUUUAGAUUGAUCGAACCAGUUUCAAAUUAGUUUUGUAAGUGCACAUUCUAAUUAAGCAGCUAAUAAACUAAUUAACUGUAUUUUCUACAAUUAAUUAGUGGCCUUCAUAUAUGUUGACAAGAAAUACAAAACCUCGAGCUGUGAACUAGGGUAUAAGAUGAGACAUGAUCCUACAAGUUGUGGCCUUUAAGAAGGGACCAUGCAUUAACCAUAUAUUUAUUGCUUGUUAAAAGCAAAUGAUAAAGUGGAAAAGGAGAAACAUAUUGGAUGUACAUAUACGAGCCUUGCAUAUAUACUUUUUAGUUUUUACACCAACCCACCUCCCAUAACUUUGCUGUAGCCAAUCAACAUUAUUUUUGAAACAUUCUCCCUCCCUAAAUCUUCUUUUCUCAAAGUAAAUGAUGCACCAGUCAGAGAUGAGAUGUCUUUUUUUUUUUUUUUUCAAUGCUAAAUGACAAGAAUAACCCUUAUAUAUAUAAAUUAAAUGAUCAGGUAUUUAUUUGUUAUUUUAUUUUUAAAGUAUAAGGACGGAAAGAGAGGGUAACACACAAAGAACCGAUUCUUCGAGAAAGACUAAAACAUUUUUAAUUAAUUUUCUUACUACAAAUAUAUGUAAUCCUAAUAUUUAUUCUUUAUUGAAACCUUCGCGCUUCCUACAUUUUUAGAAAUAAACUUAGCUAGAAAUGUAAAGUAAUAAAAUUUCAAAGUUGGAACCUCUGGUACCAACUAUUAAACCCUUAACCGUCAAUGGGUCCUUAUAUAUUUUCUAUCACUUAAAUAUAUGUUUCUGUACUUGCCUUUCUCCCUUUAUAAAGUGUUGCAACCCUUUUUAGAACCUCAAGGCGCACUUUUGGCAAAGAAUGUUCAUCCUUCGCAUUAAUUAAUCUUCAAAUUAAGGACGCACAAUGAACUCAACUGAUUAUAUAUUUUGUUAUCUUUUCUUUUCUGUUCUUUUUUAUGUAGAUGCAUGUACCAAGGCCAUUUUGAAAUGAGAAAUUCUAAGUCUACAAUCAAAAAUGGUUGUGUGAAAAUUUUAGCCUUUGGAUGGACAUAUUAUAAGAUCACAACAAAUAUGGUUGCAGAAGCAUUACUCUUCAAAACUUUUAGGCCAAUUUAGGCCAACAUCCCUUAAAAAAUAUAUUGAUGAUUAUAAUUUGAAUUAUUCCACCAGUAAGAAAUUAGAUUUUUGGCCUCCAUAUAUAGUUUCAUUUGGCUUUUAUAUUACAACAUAUUCUUAAGCACAUGUAUAUAGACAUAUAAAUUGCUAUAUCCUUCCAAAUGGAACUGCCUAACUACAAUAAGCUGCUUCUUAAUUUCCUACUCACUCAUGUACGAAGACACGAGGACUUCUAAUGCAUCAAACUUUAGUUUAUAGUUUUACUACCGACCGUAUCUAGCUCAGUUGACUAAGGGUUUGAUAGUUGAUACCUGAAGGUCGAAAGGUCGAAACCUCGUUACUUCACAUUCCUAAUUGAGUUUAUUUCUAAAGUAAAUAAUGAAGCAAAGCUUACUAGAACAGUCAUUUGUUCAUUCCUGUGCAUAAAUGUGGCAUGCUAUCUCUCACUUUGCCAGCAACUGUAGAACAAGACAAGUUGCUAAACAUCUUGCUCUUUCAUAUACCCUCAAAUCCCACAAGUAAAUAAAGAGAACCUCCAUUGGCCAAAGCAAAAGAGACUUGGGAAUGAGACAAAGUUUCCACAGCACCGAUCCUUUUACCCAGUACUUUAAAGCUUGUAUGAGCCUUUUUGGCUUACUAAGGGUGUCCUUUAAUUCCUUUGUUUUGUGUAUGAGAGAGAGAGAGAGAGAGAGAGAGAGAGAGAGAGUGCCCUGCAUGCAUGAAAGUGAGGUAACUCUUGGAUCUGGAAGCCUCAGCUACUACAAUCCAACACUGAUAGCUAGUAUGUAUAGCUAUCUAUAUCAAAUAGGUGUAUAUAUAUUCUCACUAGUAUAGACCAUCUUUAAGUACAAGUUUGAACUAUUUUUCUUAUAUAAAUUAAGACUCUCUUAAUUAAUUUUGAGACUUUUUUAUUUGAGGUAUUACACUUGCUCAAGUCCAAAACAAAUUUGUUAGUUAUAUUAGCUAUUUAGUCAUUAAGUGAUUUUUUUUUCUCCUAAUUAAAAUAGAGAAAGAUAGUAAGUUAUACGUUUCGUUCAUUUUUCUAGAAAUAAAUUUAGUUAGAAACAGCUAUAUUUCGAACUUAGAAUCUCGACUACCAACUAUUACGUCCUCAUCCGACUGCGCUAAAUAAUUCAAUUUUAUUUACUAAAAACUAAUUAAAACUUUUAUAUUCUGAAAUUUAAAAGUUAAAAAGGCAUCAAUAAUUUUUUUUUUUUUUUUUUGAUGAGCCAUGUAAAGGUGGCCUCUAGUUGAGGGGCCCUACAUAUAUAUUUUUUUAUAGCUAUCAAUCAUGAUCUAGUUAAUGCCUUGUGGGCAUUUUGUAAUUUUUGAGUGAUGGCUACUACAUAUAUAGGGUGGGGGAUCCAAGAAGAGGGGGGGAUUCUCUGUUAUGUAUAUGAUGCUAAUUCAGUUCAAGGGAGAAGGCCUAGAGGCUCCAAUCCAUGUGCUACUAUAUCUGUCCCUUCUCUUUUGCCCUUUUCUUUAACUUGCUUUUCUUUUGUUUCUUUUUAUAAAUAUUUUUUCUCUUUUUCUUUAAAGGAAAAACUCCUUUGAUCCAAGUUCCAUCUGAUGUUGACCGGUCAAAAGAGGUGGCUAAAUGACAUAUAGGAAAAAGAAACAAAUAUUGUAGGGUAACAAGUUCCAUUUGAGGUGGUUUGGGGGAAUGACACAUAUAAGAGGCAUUUUCAUGGGGAGGGGGACCAUUUUGUUCUAUUUUGUUAAAUGUAGAGAUGAUUAGGGUAACAAAAAAUACGUGGACCGCACCGUUCAUUAUUGUUUUAAGAUUUGUGAUUAUUGUAUAUGAUGGAUAGUUGAUUAGAUUAUUUUUUAUUUUUCGUUAAGAGACUUCAUAUAGAUAAUGAUCAGAAUGGCGUGCACUAUAUAUGCCUCACGUAGCUUUAACAACAAAAAUAACUAUAAUAAUAUAGACAACAUUCAGAAAGUGUCACACUAAUUUUAGAGCGUAUUUAGAAGCUUCAAACUGAAAUUUUAACUCUCGGAAUUUAUUUAUUUUUGCCUUUUGUCUUAAUUAUUAGAAAUUUCAAAUUUUUUGUUUGCUAAAUGCGUUAUUGCUAUAGCUGAAAGUAAAAGCAGAAGUAGAAUCAAUCAAUCAAAUCAACACUGAAAGCACCAAUCCAGGAGGAGACAUGCUAGUACCUUAAUUAUUGCAUCCUUGAAUUGGGGUAGUUGGGGUAUUAAUUUAAAUAAGAGGAUUGUAUCAUUGUAGUGUCUGGUAAUGAAAGCAUACCUUAAUCACUUAAUUUAAUUAAGGUGAAGAGAAGAAUCUUUAUAUUUACAAUAAUUGAAGCAAUAAACUAAUCCAAUUUAAAAGUAGUGCCCUAAUUAAACCUAAUUAAACAGAAUGUACUGCUGGCUCUGAGUAAGCAGUAAUCAUUUGGUGACAAAAGCUCAAAAAUUAUAUGAUAAUAAAAUAUAUAUAUAUAGGGACAUGUUUUCUUUUUUCUUUUUUCUUUUUUCUUUUUUUUUUGUUGUGUGUAACAUAAAACAAAUGCAAAAGCAAGUGAGAACUAAUUAAGAGAUAUCAUAUAUAGAAGUAUAUUUAAUCUAGUGAAAGAUCAUAUUAUCUUACAUUGCAUUAAAUAAGCUUAUUUAAUUACAACUGUAUGUUUUCCACUAUCCAACUUUUCUCAACAAUAUUUGAUAUAUAAAAUCAUGCAUAUUGGCCAAAUGAUAUAUACACUCUUUUUCAUAUAUAUAUACUAUUUUAUUCCAAUAUUAUUUUUUCCCCCUUUUUCUCCAUUUAAAGUUGACAAUUCCAACUACAACAAUGUUUUCAAUAAGAAACUAUUACAAGUGAUAGAACAAUUAACAACUAAGCUCCAAUUGAACAGUAAGCUAGCCAAUACCAAUUAAUGAGUACAACAUAUACUCUAAUACCAAAUUAAGAAUCGAAUAUCUAUAAUAAGAAAUCGAAAUUAUGAACCGAUCGACGAAUCACGAAUGGUCAAUAGUCAACGCUGCACUUGGUCGGCGCGAACGCAGCGGCGGAGCUCACGGCGGUCGGCGGCGGCGGCAGGAGCUUCACCACGCAGUCGACCUUCGGCUUGAAGCCGUGGACCUUGGCGAACCAAACUUUAUACCUAUUGAACAUAACAUAAAAUGCCAUAAUAUGUAAUACCGUUUUUUAACAGCUUAAACUUUUAUAGUACUAUAAGCAAAGCACCUCAGCUUCGCGUGGACCGUGAUUUCCACGCGGAACGCCCCCUCCCCCUUCUCCCUACCAAACGCGUCGCUAACUCCCGCGCCCACGCCCGCCGUGCGGCCUUUGAAAACCGCGCUCACCGCGGUGGUGGUCUUCGGAUGCUGGUAGAAUUCCGGGAAGGGCGAGUCGGCGGGGCCGAGGAGGGCGCCGGAGUAGAAGGCGGCGGCGUCGAGGCGGUCGUAGUAGACGCCGAUUCGGCUGUUGGGGUUACGGAGGGAGAGAUCGGCGGUGAGAUUGAAGAGGAGGGCGCCGGAGGGGGAGAGGGCGAAUUCGGUGAGGGAGGCGGAAUCGACGCUGGCGCCGAUGCGACGCGGGCGGAAUAUGAGCCAGAAAUCGAAAACAAGGAAGCCGGCGAAGAAAAGGAGGCCGCAGAAUUUGCUGCAGCAUCUCGUGCAGCCGUCGGCGCCGGAUGGGUUAGACAUACUGCCCGGGUGCCAGAGAUGGGUGUUUUUUUACAAUUGUACUAAAAUUCUCAUCAACAAUAAGUUGUAAUAAGUAUAUUUCAUAUGUUUUUUUUUUUUUUUUUUCCCUCUCUCGGGGCCUGGCUGCCCCACCCUUGUAGCCUAAUUCAUCAUUCUGUUGAAUGAAGCGGGUAGCGUGCUACCUUUUUCUCAAAAAAAAAAAAGAAAGUAUAUUUCAUAUGCCGUACUACUAAACUUCUCUAUAACAGAUACCGUAGAAUAAUCUCUCUCUCUCUCAAAAAAAAAAAAAAAAAAAAAAAGAGAUACCGUGGAGUAAAAUGCUAAGGCAUUAAAUGUGUCCUGUGAUAUUUGAAAAUUUUGGGAGCUAAUUUUUUACAACAACUCGUAAAAUAAUCUUCUCUAUGUGCACAGUUGACUAAAUAGAGUUUUUUUUAAAUAGAUCACAUUUAUUAUAUUAUUUUUUGUUUUUAGUAUGUUGAUCAUUUAAUAUAAGGUGCGGUGCAUAUGGUGUACUUUGUACACUUCGUGCAGGGAAUAAUUGCGCGUUAAAGUAAUUAGUAGGAUUUAAUUCAUUAGGCCCAUUUAAUGUGGAGGCCCAUUUAUGUUGAAUCCACGUCUCCGGUUAGAGAUUACAACUGGGCUAUUCUGGGCCCAUUAGACCCAAACCUACACAUUGGACCAAGCUCAAUCAAAUAAUAAAUUUUCAAUUAAUUUUCAUAUAUAGGCUUAUUAAACGUUAUAAAAUACAUUUAAUAAAUUAAAUUUGAUUUUGUGGCCACUACAAUACGAUUUUAAAAAUGUGGUGCAUGGUGCACCAGGUGCAUGCAAGCUCCAUUUCUAUCGGGCCGUAUGCGAUUUAUUGGGCCGGGCCUACUCCAAUGUUUAAAAUAUAAUGCAAAGAGAAUUAUUUUUAUUUCGUUUACACCUCUAAGAUUUAAAUUGUUUUUAUUUAAAUCAUCUUCUUAAAUUGAACUGAGAUUUUGUAAGAAUUAAUAAAACCCAUUGUUUCGUUGUCCAAUAAGGUGUUCAUAACAAUUAAUUUUGGAAGAACAUUUUCUCUUUUCCUUAGAUUAUUUUGAUUUAAGGAAUCUGCAUUUAAUUCUCAGAGGAAAAGCUAAUUAAAGCAAAGAUUGAGUUUAAAAAAGUAAAGGCUCUGAGACCCACAUUAGUAAGUGCAUAUAUUUUAACACUGCAAUAAUAUUACUGUACUCAUCUCAAACACAGGACAUAUAUCUCAAUCUCCUACUUUACCAUUUCUCAAUCCACUUUUCUAAUUAAGCACACAGUGAAAGCAGAUAAAAAUAAAAAGAUAAAAAAAAGGAGCAAUUAUAAAGUAUUUAAUCUAGGGGUUUUUUUGCAAAUAGCCCCCUGACAAUUUUUUUUUUUAAAAUUGGCCCUGUGUAAAAAUUAUUUGCAAAAAUGGCCCUGGCCCCGCCCCGUCAGCACCACGUCAGCGCCACGCGGGCGGGGCUGGGCCAAGUGUUUAUAUUGAACACGGUGAACCAUUCACCGUGUUCAAUACAAAAUUUUUGUAUUGGACACGGUGAAUGGUUCACCGUGUCCAAUACAAAAUGACUAAGUGAGAUAUAUUUGUAUUGGACACGGUGAAUCAUUCACCGUGUCCAAUACAAAUAAUUGGACACGGUGAAUAGUUCACCGUGUCCAAUACAAACACCCACAACUUAACCAUUUUUGGCUAAGUCGAAUGUAUUUGUAUUGGACACGGUGAACCAUUCACCGUGUCCAAUACAAAAAUCUUGUAUUGAACACGGUGAAUGAUUCACCGUGUUCAACUUAUACAAUUGGCCCAGCCCCGCCCGCGUGGCGCUGACGUGGCGCUGACGGGGCGGGACCAGGGCCAUUUUUGCAAAUAAUUUUUACACAGGGCUAUUUUCGAAAAUAAAAUUUUUUAUGGGGCUAUUUGCAAAAAAAGCCCUUUAAUCUAUUCUUAAAGCUUCUUAUUGGAUUUUCUAUGCUCCUCCCUUUGUUUUACUAUACUAUAAUUAUUUAGUUAAUUUUUUUAAAAUUAUUUUCUCUUUCAAAUUUAUUAUUAUUUUUUUUCCCUCUUUUAAUAAGUCCACUCUUGAGGGAGAAGUAACUCAGGUGGUUGAAUGGGCACUGUUUCCUUUGCCACCACUGCAUAUUGCUGCUUCUUUUGUUGCUUUUCUCCUUUAUUAACAUCUGAAAAAAAAAAUAAAUAUAAAAGGAUUUUUAGAUACUUAAAAACUACAAUUGCAUUUUAUGGAUAAAGAUUAAAAAUAUACAUAUAAACAGAACUGAUUUCGAUACUAACAAAUAAAUUUGUUGCAUUUGUUUAUCUCAUUAUAAAAUUUUAAAAUGUAAAAAAUAUAUUUAUAGUUCAGGAACUAAAAUAUUUAUUUUUUUAAUAGUACAGAAACCGAUUCGCAAAUAUUGGGAUGUGUAGGGGCUACCCAUGCAUUACCUCAAAGAUAAUAAAUUAUGUACACACAUCUCUCAAAAAAAUAAUAAAUUAUGUACACACAAAAAAGACAAAAAAUAAACAAAAGGAUGGAGGCAAAAAUAAGAAGUUAAUUAAGGGGUAAUUUUUAAAAUGGGAAGCUCAUUAAAAGCAAUUAAAUAAAUAAAGUCUCGGAAAAAAAAAAAAAAAACAAAAGAGCGGCAAAAUUUAACUCACGCGGUUUUUUGUUGACUCCGGGGUUGACCGCGACGCGCGGGAGGAACACCCCGGUCCCACCACACUCCUUCCCUGAACCGGUCGACCGAACCGGGUUGAACUGGACCGCAGUGAACCGGACCGGACCUGGCCCUUGCUGUAUUUUCGAAACCUUCUUAUUAUUAUUAUUAUUGUCAUGCGUAAAUCCCAACGCCUGCAAAUUUUAAUUUUAUAUUUUUAGCAAAAAAAAGUUUAAAAAAAGGUUAAAUUUAUGGAUCUAAUUUAUUUAGAAUAUAAUUAGUUAAUUUUAUUUUAUUUUACACAUGAAGAAAAAAAAAGCAGCUUACUUUAGACUGAGCCAGUUUUGACGAACCAACCGGUCCGAACCGGGGCACGCCCGGUCUAAACCCCUGAAACCGAGACCAAAAAAAAAAAAAAAACCAGAAAAUAAUUAAAGCAAAAUAGGGGAAAAAAAAAUUAGCCAAAAGAAGCAAAAAAGCUUCGAAAGAGAGAGGAGAGAAUGAGACCUCAAAGAGAAGCGAGGGACGAUGAGGAUGGGGAAUGGUGGCGACGAGGUGAUUGGUCCGGUCCACAAGACCGGAGGGGUCGGAUCGGUGCGCCGGGUCCACCACGUAGGCAUGGUGGGGCCGUGGGCCCCAUCCCCCGCCGCAGCGCAAGUUGUGUGGGAACUCCGCCAUCGUCCCCAACGAAGAGUGAGUGAGAGAGAGAGAGAGAGCGUAUGUAUAUAUAUAGAUGCGACGAGUAGGGGUAUUUUCGUCUUUUUACGCUUUUGGCUUUGGCUUUAUAUAGAAGCUAUUCGAGUACGGACGUGUAGUGAGAAGGGAGAAUAUAAGCGCACUUGAAAUUUUGACUCGAUUUUGUACUCGCUUCGAUUCUCCGUUAUGUUUGGGGUGCGAAGUCAAGUUUUGGGGUUUAGUUGAUUCGUCCAUUUUUGGGUGGCGAAAGGUCACGAAGAGAAAGUGUAAAGGAUCCCGAUGAUUGGUUGGUAACAGGAAACGCGUACAGCUGUGUUGUUCUGUUUACACGUGGCGCGGGGAGCGGAGCGCCGCCUCCUAUUGGCUGCUGCGUGGGGGCCAUUUUGAAGUGGGUCCCACAAGUCAAACAAUGGCCGUGCGUGUCCCUUGAAAUGCAAACGGUUUGGUCAAAUUGGCGAGAACCUCCGUGGUUCGCGUGCAGUGGUAACGUACGGGAUGGCCGUACUGCCACGUGGCAGAGUGGAGCCCACGCACAUAUUUUAUGUAUUAUGCGUAUAUAUAAUAAUAUUAAUCUCUACCGUAUAUAUUAUAUACGUUAUUGAAUAUUGAAUAUAUAAUAUUAGAAAAUCUUUCUAGAAAACCUUUUAAAGAAUAAAUAUUAUUUUACAUUACUCAAAUAUGAUAUUUAUAUACUAUAUAUUAUUUGAUAUGCAUUAAACACAUUAACGGUCUAAAAAAACAGCAUUUUACAUCCAAAAUGUUCAAAUUACAAGGAGCCAGGGAGAGGUAUUGUGCACUUCAAUGGCUUAAUAAUUGUUUAACAGUAGCUAUACUAAUGGUAUUAAUUCUUUGAGAAGGAACAAAUCUGAAUGCAUCGAAUCUGAUCAAUUUUAAUAGUAACAAUCCCAUUAAUAGCAUCACCCAUGUUCAAUGGGUUGAGAAAAAGAAGAGAUUUAGGACCUAGUUGAUAUCUAGCCUACUUUAUGAGACAAAAAAACAAAACAGUUAAAAUAAAAUGGGAAAACUUCAAAAACCCCCCUGUGGUUUCAUGCAUUCUCACUUUCAUAUCCUGUGGUUUAAAAUGUAUCAAUUUGUCCCCCUGUGGUUUCAUUUUUCUCUUUUUGUUAUCAAUUUUAUUAUUUUUUUUUUCUUAAAUCAGUGACAAAAUUAAAAUUAAAGGAUACUAAAGUGAAUAUUCGAUAAACAUAGAUGGUUAUCUGAAAUUUUUUGUAUAUAAUUUAACGAAAUAUUAACGAAAAAACUUCUGAAAAGAUAAAAACGAAACCACAGGAGGGCAAAUUGAUACGUUUUAAACCACAGGGUACUAAAGUGAGAAUGCAUGAAACCACAGGGAGGGUUUUUGAAGUUUUCCCAAAUAAAAUUAUAUAAAAGCAUAAAAAAUGUGCUAGUCUUAAGAGGACUGAUGCAUUAAAAAUGUGCAGAGUUGUUGUGUAGUGUUGGAAGCGUGAUUUGCUAUGAUACCACUUGUUGGAACUGGUAUUUGUACUGAUACCGAUUAUAUAAUUCAAUUAAUUUAGGGUAAUUAGCAUUCCAUUGCCAUUACGCGUCUAAGCCACAAAAGCAUUUAACUCGAGCGUGUCCCUAUUUUCGGAAAUUUUAGAAAUGAUCAGGUCCUUCUCAUCACCAGCUCAUCCCAAUGCAACCCAAAAAGAGAAAAAAUAAAAACAGCAAAGUAUUGUUUUUUUUUUUUUUUUUUUUUUUUUUUUUUUUUUUUUUUUCAAUUGAACCAUGCGUUCUAGAUACAGGUGUGAAUCCAAAAUUUCUCUACACAACAGUACAACUUUAACAAGCACUUUAUAAAGUAUGUUAAUGUGAAACACCUCAAUUGGAAAAAGUUGCCUAAUUUGUGUCAACUUUUGGUUAGAAAAAGGACCAGUAACUUACUUUGAUCAGCUUUGUGGGGCCGAGAAUUAUCCAGCAAUUUAACUGGACUUGAUAAAUUUACAUGAUUCAAAGUCUCAAACCUAAUCCACCUAAGACAUUUAUAGGUGGGAAAAGUUAUUAUAUCUUAAGGUUAACACUCAAACGGGAUCAGCAAAAUCACAAGCCAAGGGAAAGACACAGACACUACAAAUUAGGUAAAUAGAUCAAAGCAAGAGUAUCACAAUUCAUGAAAAUAGUUUCCAAGUGAACCUUCUCGACCUCUCCUCUCGUAUCCAUUAGCAUGUGACAAUUUUCUUUUGGCUAAAUUGCACUUUUUGUCAUCAAAUUUUGAGGCUCCUCAAACUUUAAUUUGUUGCAAUUCUGACUUGAACUUUUAAAUUGUUGCAAGUGACAUAGUCUAGUUUAAUUGAUUGAAUAAUGACAUGUCAGAGCUAAUUUGAUAGCUAUGCAAUAGUAUUGUACGAUACCGUGACAAUUAUUAAUAUGCCACAUCACUAUUAUAUCAGCAAAACAUCAGUAUCAAGUCAACUAAAUUGGGCUUAAUUGGACUUCAGGAUUUAAUUGCAACAAUUUCGAAAGUUGUGAACCCGAAAGUGCAACAAGUUGUAGUGUGAGGGCUAAAGAUGUCACGGUCCUCAAAGUUGAGGAACAAAAGUGCAAUUUACCCUUUUCUUCUCUUUCUUUUCUAUCUCGCACUUCUUAUGUCCUGCCAAGUUACUUUAGUUACUCACAUAUUUGUCCUCUCUAUUAUUCUUUCAUUCUCUAAAUAUUCCUCCUUUUUUUUCCCUAUAUGUAUCAUAUAACUGGUCAAAACAAAUUCAAAUCCAAGUGGUAAACAUAUUCAUGCAACUAGAUCACAAGCACCCAAAAGAGAAAAAAAGAUCAACAGAGUUAUGGCUAUCUACUUGCAGUUUUUAUGGAAAACUAUAAACCAACAAUAGUAGUUGGCCCAAUGCUUCCUCUCCCUGUAAAAUCAAAUCUACAGGUAAAGCACACACUAAACAAGCUAAAAAGCAUCUGUCAAUCAAUGUAUAAACUAUUAAGGAGAGAGAAGACACUAACUAUGGAUCCAACAAGUUUUAAGAGUCUCAGAAAAAAAAACCAUUAGCAGCUAGUGGGUGAUCGUGUUAGCUGAAGAGGGCGUAAUCAAACCUGAAAGAAUGAGCCAGCUUUUCGGAAAGUUAAUCGGACUAGAGAGCGGUGAGGGGAUGAACCGUGGUUACAAGCGUCGAAUGCCCUGACUGGGUGGGGACUGAGUCCCGCUUAGAUUGAGCUUUCCCAUAUCCAGCAUCUUCCAGUUAACCGCUGAAGGGUCCGUCUCGAAAGGAAUGUUUGCCUCAAAGCAAGAGGCGGUGCUUCUGCUUCUUCGGUGGCGGCUGGAAAUCAGCUUCAGCUUCUCAGCUUCGUUCUUCAGCGACUGCAUCUGACCUGUGGAUUUUAUCACCAGAAAAAAAAAAAAGAUCAGGAAAAAGAUUUCAUAAGUUCUGUUGAGAGUUAAGAACACCAGAGCAAAAACAGCAAAACAUUAUUACAAACUUGGUUCUUGUAAAAUAAAAAAAAUUACAGAGCUUUUACUACAGCAAGCAGUAGCCUGGGUCCUAGAAACAGAAACUUCAAUUCGAAGCUUAUGUUUCUACAGCAAAGUGAAGCUGCAAUGAAAAUUCUAAUGGCAAAGCAAUUACUACUUAUUUGAACAACUCAAAUAACACUUGAGCAAAAGCUCCAGCCAAUCUAAACAGGCCCUUGCCUCCAAUCAGGGAGACUAAAUGCCACCGAUAUUGCAUCUUGAUAAGAUUUAAAUAUUUCUUAGUUAUUUAGAACACAUGGUUGCAACAGUUAACCUCAUUUUAUCAGUAGACAAUAAAGGCUUUUAUGGCUAUUAAUUAGAUAUCAAUGUUAGUUAAGAGUUCCCGAAUUGUAAUACUUAAAUCAAGGAGGCUGGGCAAUCUUACUACAACAAAUAUUAUCAAUACCAAAGAUUACAAAACUAGGUAAAUAAGUUGCAAAGAGACUCAUACUUACCAUCCUUAAAUACUUUCUCCUGACGAAGGCUGGCAAUCUGCCUCCUCAAUUGGUUAUUUUCAAGAGAAAGCGCCGCUCGCAGCUGAAAGAGAGAAGCAACUCUCGCUGCCAACUCAGCUCCCAAAGUCUAAAAAGGAUACAAGCUCUAAUCAAGAAUUUAAAAGAUUUAAAGAUUUCAGCAAAAAGUAAGGACUAUGUGCUUACCUGAAGUGAGUCAACAGCUCUCUCGAGUUCAGCUAUAUAUUGAAGUUUGCGAACCCGAGAUCUUUGCCCAGAUCGCCUGCAGAAACAUUGAAAAUAUGUGAAACUGGAAAUCAUAUAAUGAUUUUGCAAGGGAACAUUACAUAGCAUAAGUCUUAAGGUAGUGAUCAAAUCUCAAACAUAGUGCUUUCUGGAACUUGCAAAUGGUGCAAUACUUUGGGUGAAAAGCCAAAUUUGGCACCAUCAUACCAAAGAAAACUAUGAGAAAUUAUACAUCCUGAUUUCAAAUAUAUCUAUAGGGUUUCAAUUCAUUUGUCAGUGAAGUUUCAUCUGCGUAAAGAUUUCAUCUGUGUCCAUCUACUGCUUAAGAAAAAUGCAUAGUCAACAUCACUUGCUGCCAGGGCCAACCACAUAAAACACGAUUCUGACAUAACAUCUCUUCUAAGACAGUGUACUAACAAAAGGAGUAUUUGUGCAGGUCAAACUUCAAGGACUAAACUGUGAGAUUUAAAGCUGUGAGAGCAUAAUUCAGAUCAGGAAUUAGACUUCAAGGACCAAAUUUGUGGUAAACCCAUACCACUGAAACUUCUCUUUGCGGCUAGACUUAUAAACCAAGAAGUCAUAGGAAAACUUAAUCAAACCAAGAGUCACCUUGCCACACACCAAGGCUUGCCCGCAAAAGUCGUUAACCAGUUGGUCGGGAACAUGCUACACCGUUUGUUAAUAUAGGCUACUACGCCAAAUUUCUGAUAGGCUGAAUGAUUCUGAAUCAAUAAUCCCUCACUUAGUAAUAAGAUUUGUACAACAAUCCUCUACCAAUCAACAGUCAAAAUAACUGCGAAAUGAUUUGAACAGAAUAACUAAAAAAAUAUGAUAUUUUCCGAUCGGUCAUAACUUCAGAUGGCACGAUUUGCAAGAGAUAAAAUGUAGAAAGCCAACAACAAUUUUGUUCAAAGGAUCUUUUAUUUCACCUCUCUCCCCAUUAUUUGCAAAUCUAAAACUAUGAGAUAAGCAAUCACAGCUCUGUCCUCUCUUUAAAACUCCUGCAUUGUGGCUCAUUCACUCACCAGCAAAAAACAAUCUAGUAUCUGUUUUCCUAUUAGUCCCAACAUUUGCAAAAUUGUUAGUUCAUCAAUCAUGAUACUCUAUGUAUGCUCAAUAAUAUGAUUAAUCAGUUCUGAGAUCAAUCCUAUUUACUGUACAUUCUGUACUAAUUAUUUUUCUCAAUUCCUAAUUCCAAACAAACGUAAGUAGGUUUACAACUGAGCAAGAGCUAAUCUCACCUUGGAGCUUCAAAAAGAACUCCUCAUUUCUCUGACACAUCAGCAUCAAGUAUCUGGUAAAAACUGUAUUAGAUUUUUCGUACUAAUUUGACUAACUUACCUAUAACUUGGCAUAUUUACCACUAUCCCGACUCUAUUUCUCAGCCAUGCACUGCCUAAGUAACUAAUUUGUCCAUAUCUUCCGCAAGUCAAAUAUAUUAAACAAUCAGGGCAGCAUUUGUAGAAAGCUGCAAGAACAAAUGUUAUUUACUAUUGAGUGAGAUACAUUCAAUAUUUUAAGCAUAUUAGAUUUUCUUUCGAGUGAUUCAUAACAUAUCUAAGUAGAUUCACCAUUGACAAUAUAGUCAUAUUAGCCAGAGAUGACAAUUGCCUAACAGGCGUGGAAAUAAUUUAGAAAGAUAACAAACAUACAGAUGACCAGCAAUGAAUUACCUUCUUGAUGCCUUCUCUGGAUCAGGAUCAGCAGCAACACUAUUUGCAUCUACUUUAACACUAGACUCGCUAAUGUUUGAACAAGGUGCCAAAUCAGCAGUUAAGUACUGCAGAGGAUUACGAGGAACAUUUUCCAGCACAGCAUUCACCAUCGAGCUCUCCGAAGUGGUUAACCGACUCUUCUGCCUAGGCGAAUUAGGGCCAUAAACACAGCUAGCCUCAAUCCGACACCCAAUCUCACCUUCCACCUUAAUUUCGGACAAUUGUUCUGAAUCCUCAUUCGAUAUCGAAUCAUCUUCAUGAAUUGGGAAGAUUGGGCUUUGAAAACUAGUCAAAACAUUUAACAUAACAGCCGAAUCGCUCGAAGCUCUCCGAAGAGAGCUUCCGGACGGAAUUCUCUCCGGUUCAGUCAAGAGGUCGUCGAACCAAGAUGGUUGUUCAGUGAAUGAUGCUUGGGAGGGUGACCUAUGCUGUUGCGUGAACAAUGUACCGUCUCUAUUCGUAGUUCCAGAUGGGGAGUCCGGAGUUCGGGGAAGGGAACUCCGGUUCAGAAGUGGGAAACGAGGGGGGAGGUUUGCAGGGCGACUCAUAGUGACAAAAAUUAUAGGAAUAGCUUCUCCUCAGCUUCUGUAAACAUAUCCUUUCUACAUCUUCCUCUUGUUCCUGUACCAGAAACCCCAAAACUGUGAAGAUAACAACAAUGCAAAUAAUCCGAAGUGCUAGUAUUCAUUCCAACAAACAGUAAUCACUGAAACAAGUUCCAAAACACUGUAAAACAUAAAAAUGCACACAUCAACAAAGAACUCUGAAGCUAUAUUGCAAGGCAUUACUUGAGAUGAUCUUAAACCCCACAAACCUAAAGCCCAAUCAGGGAAAAACCCUAGAACUCCCCAUUUUAUUGCUCUAACACAUCAAAAUCCAAGCCGAAAUCAACGGCAUUACACUAAUCUCUCCACCACUACCCUGGAGACAUUAAUGGCGAUCAAAGCAAGCUUCAAUCACAACGAUCGCAUUGCUCCCGAGAUCAAGAAGAGCACAUUGCGCUCCAAAAAAUUAAAACCCUAGAAACCGGAUAUCUAAAACAUCACCAAUCGAACAGUAACAUCAAUCCAACUCCAAAACAACGAGGAAAAAAAGCAGCGACACAACCCUAACCACGUAUUCGCACCAAAAACACUUCAAAACCUCCAACAAAAGCCCUUAAAAAAAAUCAAAUUCCCACCGAAAAAUGCGAGAAAAAAUAAAAAUUAAUGCAUUGCGGCGAAGAAUAAGAACUCGACGGGAUCGGAUUACAACGAAAGCGAUGCGUAAGAGCGCGUAGAUGGGAAAUUAUUUGGGAAUAAUGUGAAUGCAAUGGUUUUAUUUUGCGAAAUUUUUUGGGCGGAGUUACUAGUACCUGGUUGUGUUCUAUAAUGAGAGAGAGAAAGAGAGAGAGAGAGAGAGAGAGAGAGAGAGGGAGGGGAGGGAGGAGAGAGAAAGGGUGUUGGGAGUAUUUAAAAGGAGGGUGACAAUGUAUGAAGAACCCCUUCACCUAUAAUAAAUUUUGAGAGCCCUCAAUUUCUCUUUUUUUUUUUAUUUAAGUUUUCAUACUUAGUUUUAUUAAAUUUAAUACUUUGAUUGAAUAUUAAUCAUAUUAAUUUGUCUAUUUUCAUUUGUUACAAAAUAAUUAAGAUUAUUAAAUUUUAAGCAAUCACUAAUAAAUUUGAUAAAUCUCUCAAAUUUUCUUGACUAAAACUAUGUAAUUUUUUUAAAAAAAUUUUGGAAGUUAAGUAGUCCAAAUCAGAAAAAUAGUUAGGGUACUAUUUCAAAAUGUAUAUAGUGAGGGAGUCUAUGUAAAAAAUCUUAUACCAUCAAUUAGUCUUACUUUUAUUAAAAAAUAAUUAAAAUUAUUAAAUUUGAUAAAAUUACUGAUAAAUUCCAAUUAAUUAUUUUUUUUUUAAAAAUAAAAGUUGAAACGUCUCAAUCAAAAAAGUAAAGUUCAGGGAUCAUUUACAAAUUUCCUAUAGGUGAGGGGUCUGCAUACAUUUUUACCUAAAAGGAGGUAAGCGUGGGGAUGGGUCUCCGUACAAGAAAAGCCAACUGGCGUAUACAUAUACGUACACUUGAUAUAUAUACUUGGUUAUAGUGGCCGUAUAAUACGGAUUAUUAUACCUACGUAUAAAAAUACACCACUACACCAUUUAUCCCCACCGUUUUAAAAUUUUUAUUAUCGAUUGAUAAAUAAAUAAAUAAGACCUUGUGUUAUGUUAAUCAUGAAACCAAUUAAGUGAGGUUUAAGAAUUGGUUCAAUUUGGGCCUAAGCCCAAUCCCUAAUCUUUCAAAUAAUGGGGGCCCGACUUCGUCGAGAACGGCUCGGCCUCGGGCUAGGCUUUUAUUUCUUUUGGCCCGAUGACACAAAUCGGAGUUGUUGGGCCGGAGAUAGAUUUUCGGUUGAACUAGAGUUCGGAUGAAAAUUAUUUUUCUUUCGCUGUUUGUUUUUAUAAUUAUGAGACAAAAUUUUUUGGAUAAACUUCAAAUACCACCCCCGUGGUUUCACACUUUCUCACUUUAGUACCCUGUGGUUUAAAAUGUAUUAAUUUAGUGUCCCGUAGUUUCAUUUUUCUCUUUUCAUCAUCUUUUAAUAUUUCGUUAAAUUAAAUACAAAAAACUUCAGAUUCCUCAUCUAGGUUUAUCGAAUAUUCAUUUUAGUAUUCUUUAGUUUUAACUUUGUCACUGAUUUAAGGAGAAAAGAUUAAUGAAAUUGAUAAUAAAAAGAGAAAAAUAAAACCACAUGACACUAAAUUGAUACACUUUAAACUAUAAGGUACGAAAGUGAGAAAGUGCGAAACCACAAGGAUGAUAUUUAAAGUUUUUCCAAAAUUUUUCUAGUUAUGUUAUUUGUUAGGCAACAAGUGAGCAACCGAAAAGCAGAAGGUGUAAGAUAAAGUUAAUAUUUUAUUCAUUUUUUUUUCCCAUAAUUAACUUCAAUUUGGGAUGGACCAAAGCCGAUUACGCUAUUUUGAACAUUUUGAGUUUCGACUGAAGGUGUAGUUAUAAUGAGCCAAGCAGUGAAAGUGAAUAUUUACGGUCGAAAAUCACUUCACACUUUUUCACUUUUGGUGAAAUAAACACAUUCCUAAUACCUCGUUGAAAGAUACUAAUUGAUAAAAAAAUCCUUUUACAUUAUAUGCAGGUCGCGUAAUUAGUUACUUUACAAGAAUAUAAAACAUUAUAGACACAGUAUUAUUUGCGUUAAGAAAUUAGUAGGUGUCAUAAAAAUUUGCCAAUUAUUAUUUACUGUGUGUUUAGUGAGAACUUUGAAGCUUAUGAUAUGGUUCACAAAAGUGAGUUGUGGCUUGGGAGAAAUUAUUAUCUUUAAGUUGUGGUGUGAGAAAAAUGAAAAUUUGUAUGAUUCAUGCGCGAGAAAAAUUAGCGAAUUUGAAUUGGAGUUUUCUCCUGAUUGAUUGUUCAGAAGAAACAACGCGUGAUUUAGAAGCGCUUUUUCGUCUUCUGCGAUGCUCCCGUAUGCACGAAAUUCAAAGCACCAGAGGGAGGAUCUUUCAGGAACAUGGAGGAAAAUGCCGGUUGCUUCCAGAAUCAUAAGUGGUGGAAAUUGUUAGCCCUGUAACUAGGGAUGCAAACGGGACGGAUCUGGGGACGGGAGAGUUCCCCCACCUCUCGCUCCAUUUUUUAUCUGGGCGGGGCGGAUUCGGGGCGGGUUAUUUUUCAUUUUAUUUUUGGCUCCCACUUACCGCUCCAUUUGGGGCGGAUCGGGACGGGAGCGGGGCAGGAGCGGAUUUUUAACGGAUCGGAGUAGAUUGAAGGAAGAAAAGAGUCUCCCGCUUCCCGCUCCAUUUACUUGGCGGAUCGGGGCGGAUUCGGGGCGGGUUAUAUUUUUCUAUAUUUUUUGUUCCCACUUACCACCCCAUUCNCCACAUAAUCGCACCAAAAACACUUCAAAACCUCCAACAAAAGCCCUUAAAAAAAAUCAAAUUCCCACCGAAAAAUGCGAGAAAAAAUAAAAAUUAAUGCAUUGCGGCGAAGAAUAAGAACUCGACGGGAUCGGAUUACAACGAAAGCGAUGCGUAAGAGCGCGUAGAUGGGAAAUUAUUUGGGAAUAAUGUGAAUGCAAUGGUUUUAUUUUGCGAAAUUUUUUGGGCGGAGUUACUAGUACCUGGUUGUGUUCUAUAAUGAGAGAGAGAAAAAGAGAGAGAGAGAGAGAGAGAGAGAGAGAGGGAGGGGAGGGAGGAGAGAGAAAGGGUGUUGGGAGUAUUUAAAAGGAGGGUGACAAUGUACGAAGAACCCCUUCACCUAUAAUAAAUUUUGAGAGCCCUCAAUUUCUCUUUUUUUUUAUUUAAGUUUUCAUACUUAGUUUUAUUAAAUUUAAUACUUGAUUGAAUAUUAAUCAUAUUAAUUUGUCUAUUUUCAUUUGUUACAAAAUAAAUAAGAUUAUUAAAUUUUCAGCAAUCACUAAUAAAUUUGAUAAAUCUCUCAAAUUUUCUUGACUAAAACUAUGUAAUUUUUUUUAAAAAAAUUUGGAAGUUAAGUAGUCCCAAUCAAAAAAAUAGUUAGGGUACUAUUUCAAAAUGUAUAUAGUGAGGGAGUCUAUGUAAAAAAUCUUAUACCAUCAAUUAGUCUUACUUUUAUUAAAAAAUAAUUAAAAUUAUUAAAUUUGAUAAAAUUACUGAUAAAUUCCAGAAAAUCUCUAAAUUUGCUGGCUAAAAUUAAUUAUUUUUUUUUAAAAAAAUAAAAGUUGAAACGUCUCAAUCAAAAAAGUAAAGUUCAGGGAUCAUUUACAAAUUUCCUAUAGGUGGGGGGUCUGCAUACAUUUUUACCUAAAAGGAGGGAAGGUAAGCGUGGGGAUGGGUCUCCGUACAAGAAAAGCCAACUGGCGUAUACAUAUACAUACACUUGAUAUAUAUACUUGGUUAUACUAGUGGCCGUAUAAUACGGAUGAUUAUACCUACGUAUAAAAAUACACCACUACACCAUUUAUCCCCACCGUUUUAAAAUUUUUAUUAUCGAUUGAUAAAUAAAUAAAUAAAUAAGACCUUGUGUUAUGUUAAUCAUGAAACCAAUUAAGUGAGGUUUAAGAAUUGGUUCAAUUUGGGCCCAAGCCCAAUCCGUAAUCUUUCAAAUAAUGGGGGCCCGACUUCGUCGAGAACGGCUCGGCCUCGGGCUAGGCUUAUUUCUUAUGGCCCGAUGACACAAAUCGGAGUUGUUGGGCCGGAAAUAGAUUUUCGGUUGAACUAGAGUUCGGAUGAAAAUUAUUUUUCUUUCGCUGUUUGUUUUUAUAAUUAUGAGACAAAAUUUUUUGGAUAAACUUCAAAUACCACCCAUGUGGUUUCACACUUUCUCACUUUAGUACCCUGUGAUUUAAAAUGUAUUAAUUUAGUGUCCCGUAGUUUUAUUUUUCUCUUUUCAUCAGCUUUUAAUAUUUUGUUAAAUUAAAUACAAAAACUUCAGAUUCUCCACCUAGGUUUAUCGAAUAUUCAUUUUAGUAUACUUUAGUUUUAAUUUUGUCAUUGAUUUAAGGGAAAAAGAUUAAUGGAAUUGAUAAUAAAAAGAGAAAAAUAAAACCACAGUGCACUAAAUUGAUACACUUUAAACUAUAGGGUACGAAAGUGAGAAAGUGCGAAACCACAGGGAUGAUAUUUAAAGUUUUUCCAAAAUUUUUCUAGUUAUGUUAUUUGUUAGGCAGCAAGUGAGCAACCAAAAAGCAGUAGGUGUAAGAUAAAGUUAAUAUUUUAUUCAUUUUUUUUUUUCAUAAUUAACUAUAAUUUGGGAUGGACCAAAGCCGAUUACGUUAUUUUGAACAUUUUGAGUUUCGACUGAAGGUGUAGUUACAAUGAGCCAAGCAGCAAAAGUGAAUAUUUACGGUCGAAAAUCACUUCACACUUUUUCACUUUUGGUGAAAUAAACACAUUCCUAAUACCUCGUUGAAAGAUACUGAUUGAUGAAAAAUAUCCUUUUACAUUAUAUACAGGUCGCGUAAUUAGUUACUUUACAAGAAUAUAAAACAUUAUAGACACAGUAUUAUUUGCGUUAAGAAAUUAGUAGGUGUCAUAAAAAUUUGCCAAUUAUUAUUUACUGUGUGUUUAGUGAGAACUUUGAAGCUUAUGAUAUGGUUCACAAAAGUGAGUUGUGGCUUGGGAGAAAUUAUUAUCUUUUAAGUUGUGGUGUGAGAAAAAUGAAAAUUUGUAUGAUUCAUGCGCGAGAAAAAUUAGCGAAUUUGAAUUGGAGUUUUCUCCUGAUUGAUUGUUCAGAAGAAACAACGCGUGAUUUAGAAGCGCUUUUUCGUCUUCUGCGAUGCUCCCGAUGCACGAAAUUCAAAGCACCUGAGGGAGGAUCUUUCAAGAACAUGGAGGAAAAUGCCGGUUGCUUCCAGAAUCAUAAGUGGUGGAAAUUGUUAGUCCUGUAACCGGUAAACCCAAUAUAUAUAUAUUCCAAAAAAAAAUCUCUCUUAUAUUUUACUAUUAUAUCAGAACUAGUGAAAAAGUUCGCGCUUUGCAGCGGGUAAAACUAUAGGAGUAAUUAAUAAUAAGAGAACAUCAAAUGAUGACGCUUUUUCCGAGGAUGAUGAUAGUAAAAAUGACGAUGAUCCAUUCAGCCGCUGCCGAGAGGGAAGAUNAAAAAAAAAAAAAAUCCAAAAAAAAAAAAAUCUCUUAUAUUUUACUGUUAUAUCAGAAUAUGUAGAAGAUUCUAAGUUAAAAUUCUGUCGAGUUCUCAAUUUUAUUUAACUCAUGCUCACACUGAGAUAUUUAAUCAAAGUUCACGCCGAGUUUUGAGCACACCUAUCAAAAAUCUUAAGUUCAAACGUAAAAAUGAGUGUUAAUUUCUCCCAUUUAACUUAAAUUUAUAUUUUUUUGCCUAUCGAAAAGUCUUAUGCUCAAAUUAAAUAUUGAAAUAUAAAAAUUAAAAAUAUUAUUUAAAAAAAACUAUUUUGUUUGGAGAGAUAGAAAAAGGAGGUAGAUUAGUUACUAUCACGGAUCAUGCUCAAGUCAUCUGAAUCAUACACUUCGUAAGUAAAGAUGUCCGUGGACCGGGUCGGGUCUGGAUAAUUAAUAUACUGUACUCAUACCCUAAAAAGGAAUGGCUAGAAAAGAAAUAUAUAUACCCUAUCCAUUUAAGGUCGGGUCGGGUCCGGAUCUGGGUACUAAAGUUACUAAUAUAUCCAUCGGAUCUAUUUGAGCGGGUUUGGGUAGUAACUACCCGUAUACUAUCCGUUCAAGACUGGAUAUGGAUUGGGCCUAGAUCAGGUACGAAUAUCCGUAUAAGUAUAUUUUUUUUAUAAACUUUAUUAAAUAGUCUAUGAACAAACUAUAAAGCCCACUAUAAAAAAACUCGCAUUCUAUUAAGUUGUACCUUCCAAUAAAAUUCAUUCAAAAGAAAAAAAGAGUAGAAAACAAAAAAAAGAAAAAAGAAAAAAGUAAUUAGUAAAAGAGACGGCUAGGAUUUCAUUAGGAUGAAAAUAUAUAGUGACUCAUCAUCUAUAAGUCAUAUUAAAAUUGAUCCUUCAACUUUAAAAUUUUUUUUUUUUUUUAUUUACUAUCGGAUAUUUCAUCAGGUUCGGAUUCGGGUCCGGAUUUGAAAACUAUUCUGAACCCUACCCAUUUAAAAGUUGGGUUCGGAUCGGGGCCAAAUCGAGUAUGGAUAUAAAAUAUCCGGACCCAUACCCGAAACUUUAAUGGGCAAUUUUUUUUAUCCGUAUAUUAUUCAUUUUUUAUCGGGUCCGGUUCGGGUCCGGUUGGAGUCCGGGUAGGGUCCGGAUCGGGUAUGGAAUAUCGAAUAAUUUGGACACCUUUAUUUGUAAGUUUUUCACUCCUUUUUAGUCAAAAAUAUUGUCUAGUAUUUGAACCGUGGCAAAGCUUUUUUUUAAUUUAUUCUUUGUAUGCAAAAAAAAAAAAAAAAAAGGUAAAAAUGAUAACAUGCCCUAUAAUAAAUUAUUAUCUUUAUGAUGCUGAAAUAAUCAUUUAUAUAUUCUCCAAAUUAAGUUGCUUAAGUAUUAUUAUGCAAGCAAUUAUUGGAAAAAAGUUAGUACAAACAUUCCUUCAAGCGAAAUAUAAAGUAUUCGUGCACACUAAAGUCCAUUAAUUAAGAUGCUGUAAAAUGCCUAAAUAAACAAGAUACAUAGAGCAGUAAUAUUUCAUUAAUAAUGGUGCGAAGCUGCAAAUAUUGAUGCAUAUAUAUACUUUAAUAAAUAGGAAAAAAAAGCAUCUAUAAUAUUUAUUUUGAAACAAAUAAAACAUAACAUGCCUUCAAUUUAAUUGAUUUAAAAUGAAAGGUAAUGUUAAUUAAUUCCCUUUUGUUAAAGAACAAAUUAGUUUAUUAGAUCUGAUUAAAUUCAGUAAAUAAAUAAUAACCAAAUUUACUAAAUAACACCAAUUUUUAAGACCGGGAAAAUUUCUUUAAGGGAAAACUUCAAAAACCCCCCCUGUGGUUUCGUGCAUUCUCACUUUGCUACCCUGUGGUUUAAAACGUAUCAAUUUGCCCCCCUGUGGUUUCGUUUUUAUUUUUUUGUUAUCAAUUUUAUUAUUAUUUUUUUUUAAAAUCAGUGACAAAGUUAAAAUUAAAGGAUACUAAAGUGACUAUUCGAUAAAUAUAGAUGGUUAUCUGAAGUUUUUUGUAUAUAAUUUAACAAAAUAUUAACGAAAAAGCUUCCGAAAAGAUAAAAAUGAAAUCACAGGGGGGUAAAUUGAUACGUUUUAGACCACAGGGUAGCAAAGUGAGAAUGCACGAAACCACAGGGGAGGUUUUUAAAGUUUUCCCUUUGUUUAAAGAAGCUGAGACGAGGCGUUUAUAGUUUUUUUUUAAUUUAAAAAAGGCAUAAAAAAACAAUAAAAUAAUAAAAUAAAAUAAUAAAAGAGCACUCAAUUGUAGCCAAUAGGGGCACGCAAAAACCCCGCCACUCGUUAACUAGAGUGGAAUAUUCUACACACAAACCUUUAUAUUACCGCAGCCAAUAAGAAGGCUCCACGUUGCCACAGAGCACGUGGUCUCCACCACACGGCUCUGCCACGUCAGCACAGUCGGCCCCACGAGAUCCCCUCGGGCUCCGCCACGUCAGCACAACUGGCCCCACGAGAUCUUCGAGGACCAACGAGGCCUCCCAGGACGUAACCAGUUAAAGAAACAUUUUUCAAUGGACCGGGUUCACCACGUCAUUAACAAUAUUUUUUAAAAUUUUAGAGGCUCUAAAUAGCUUAAAAUAAAUCUAAAAUUUUGGUAAGCUAUUUUAAUUAGUUAUUAAAUAAUCAUAAGAAUAUAUGGUAUUAAUAUAUCAUUACUGUCACUUAUAAUUCUUUCGUAAUAAUGUAUUAGGCUACACUAAAAUGACUCUUCUCAACUUAUUGUUGUUAUUUUGUUGGAUUGAGAUCUCUUUAGCUUUUGAUUUUGUGAAAUUGAAUAAUAUAUACCUAAUUUAGUUAAAAAUUAGUCUAAUUUUACUUUACUAAAAAAUAAUUAAAAUUAUUACAUUUAUUUUUUUGACUAAAAUUAUUUAAUUUUUUAAAAAAUAAAAGUCGAGUGUUAUGUAAUAACAAGAGUUUAAAGUUGAGAAGGCCAUUUCAAAAUGGCCUGUUGUGGAGGGGCUCUUUAUAAGUUUUUAACUCAUUUUUAAACAUACUAUUUAAAUCAAAUUUAUUUUUUUAUAAUUUGAAUUAAUAAUGUAUGUAGGACAUCGGUCUAUGGUGGACCAUGGUCCAGCAAUAAUUUGUUCCCUUGUUUCCUCACCUUUUCCACACUCUCUCAUCGUCGAGCGUUUUCUGUCUCUCUCUCGAGCUCUCGAGCUCCUCACGGUAACAUCCUGAAGAAACAGGAGAGAGACAAAAGGGGACGGUGAAGUCCCCACCCAAAACCCUAACCCUAGAUCUCGCAUUGGCGGUCGCCAUGGACAACCUCGGCACGGACACGGCGGAGAAGGCGCUCUCCUUCCUCUCCAAGGGGUGGCGCGAGGUGCGCGACUCCGCGGACGCGGACCUCCGCCUCAUGCGCGCCCGGGCGAGCUCCUUCAAGUCCCUCGCCGAUCGCGAGCUCGAGAACCUCCUCCACUCCGCUUCCGCGCUCUCCGCCCCGCCGCGGCCGCUCGCGGCGGCGGCGCCGUCGUCGUCUUCGUCGGCGGCGGCGGCGCCGUCGUCGUCCUCGAUCGCGGAGCUCGAGAUCGUGAAGCGGAUCCGGCCCAAGCUCUCGGAGAUCCGGCGCGUGUACUCGUCGCCGGAGUUUAGCCGGAAGGUUCUGGAGAGGUGGAACCCUAAGGCCUCGAUCCGGAUCGAUCUCUCGGCCAUCAGGAACGCUAUCGUGGCGGAGGUUGAUGAAUUUAGUGGAGUAAUCGAUCUCGUAAGGGAGGGGCGAGAUCGGGAAAGGAGGAGGAGGAGGGUGCGGUGGAAGGGGGAGGAGGGCGAGGAGUGGGAUCUGAUUCGGAAGCUGAAGACGGGUUUGAAGGAGCUCGAGCGCAAGAGCCAAUCGAGUGAGAUUUUGGGGAAUUUAAAGAGCAAUGAGUUCAUGGACAAAGUGAAAUUAAGCUUGGUAAUUUCGCCCUAUCUCCUUACUCUGUUUGCUUUCAUGAUCAUUAAUUAGGGUUUCGGUCGCUAAAAUUACUGAUUAGGUAGAGUAUUUUACUCUUAUUGCACUUAUAAGUUGGGGGUUUUGUUUCUCUUUCCUUAUGCACUAGAAAUUUGCACUUUUGAGGUUUGUAAUUGAGUGUUUGAAGGGGACUUCGGGUAGUCUCUGUUCACUGUAGUUAUUCAUGAAUGCAACACUGGCCUAAUGAGUAAAUAUGGCGGUUACUCGUCUGCUUAAUUGUGAAUUAUCCUGGAUAUCAUCCAUAGCUUAGAUAAAUGUUUAUGUGGUUUCUCAUGUUAAGUAGCCCCAGGAUGCAGAAGUAGCCUGUUUAUGAUUGCUGUAUUAUUAUCUGUGUUACAUGUCUUUUCUCUCAGUUACAUAUCCAAGCUUUGAAUAUUAUAAUUGAGAUAGGAGUUGUUCUUUUUCUUUGAUUGCAGAGAUCAAUCUGUAAGAAGCCUCAAGAAUCCAAGGUUUGUGAUAAACUUAUCUGGAGCUUUUCUUUUUUAUUAUUUUUAUACUAUAUUGAUCUUCCCCGUUUAUGCAAUAAUAUACUAGUCGCAAGAGAAAGCAGACACUAGGUUUUUCUCUCCACUAAUUUGUCUUGAUGAAUCAGACUCCUUUUCCGAACAGUACCUCCUACAAUAACUAAAGAGCGUUUAGUAACAUAAAUAGAUAUUAAUGUGUUUAAUUUUGUCAGCUUUUGAUUUUUACAUCAGUUCUCGUGUCAAUAGAAAUAUCUUUACAAGAAAAGAGAAUUUAAAACGAACUGGAUUUUGCUAUUAUCAUAACUAUUCUAGGUUUGCUAGCUAAAUUAUAAUUUUUAUAUUACGGUGCUUCCUGAUAUUUUAGUAUUGUCGCUACCGAUCUAUCAUUUUCAUGACAAAUUAGGAAAAGCUUGUAGUAAGUAGUUACUAUUGAUCUUAUUGCAGUACCUUCUUGUACUGCUUAAUAUUGAGAUUCUAGUUUUAUGGAUUUUCUAACAUAUUCUUGUGAUCUAAUGCAGGAAGUGCCUCCAUUGGAUAUACCCGAACUUUUGGCUUAUUUUGUUAAGCAAUCUGGGCCACUGUUUGAUCAACUUGGUAUAAGAAGAGGUAUGCAGACAAAACCCUAUUCCUCAGUAAGGUCAUAUUUUUUCACUACAGUUGUAGGACAAGUUGGAUUUCAUUUUGUCUCGUGAAACUACUUUUAUAUAUUCUUCAGUAACUUGUUCAGCAAUGUCAGCUUAUUAUUAGCUGACCAUGAGAAUCCAUGUUUUUCUCCUAAUUCUAUUUCUUACUACAUGAUCAUAAAAAAUGGAACUAUCUUUUUUGCCCGUAGCAUUUCCUUUUGGCAGAUAGAUUUUGGGUUUUGUCAUGGUUUGGUAACAAACCUCAGCUGUAUUAUUAGCUAAACCAAACAUUUUCUGUCGUGUCUCAACCUGAUGAUAACAUGGUGCUUUUUCCCUGUGUUUAUAUUUUAUGUAGAUUUCUGCGACAAAGUAGUGGAAGCCUUGUGCAAUAGGCACAAAGACCAGAUAGUGUGCAAUUCUAUUUCUGCAAGUGAAUUAUCGUUAGUUGGAAAUGAGAACAUUGCCGAUGAGCUCGAUUUAAGAAUAGCCAGUGUGCUCCAAAGCACAGGGCAUCACUAUGAAGGUGGCUUCUGGGAUAACUCAUCAAAACAUGAGAGAUCAGACGAGAAACGACGUGUUGCAAUCGUAACAACAGCAAGUCUUCCGUGGUUGACUGGAACUGCUGUAAACCCAUUGUUUCGUGCUGCAUAUUUGGCUAAAACCACCCAGCAAGAUGUAACCUUGGUGGUCCCUUGGCUUUGCAAGUCUGACCAGGAGCUGGUUUACCCUAACAAUAUAACUUUUAGUUCUCCAGAAGAACAGGAAGCUUAUAUACGGAACUGGCUGGAGGAAAGAGUGGGAUUUACGGCGGACUUCAAGAUCUCUUUUUAUCCUGGAAAGGUAGUAUCUCAGUGCGAUAUUUAAUGUUGUAUUUUGAUAUACAAGAAAUCUACACAUUACUCCUGGACAAUUAUCUAGUUUUAUAAUGUAUCUUUUCAAAAAUUUUGACUUUCAAGUGUGCCUCCAGAAAAACAUUAAAAAUUACCCUAUCAAACAAGCUUUAUACAGUAGAAAACCAGCUUUCUCCCAUGAAUUCAACAGAGUCCCUAACUUAACAUUGGGGAUAAUUUUGUAAGAAACUGCAGUUCGAGGGGUAUAUAUGACAAUUGAGAUUUACAGUGGUGCAUAUGUAGAUAGAUGAUUUGUAGGGGGAUAUAUUUGUGAAAUCACAUUUAAUAUUUUUCCUUUACAUGUAACAUUGACAUUGCAUAUUAUGUCUGAUAAACAGUUUGCAAAAGAAAGGCGAAGCAUUAUUCCUGCUGGGGAUACUUCACAAUUUAUUCCCUCAAAAGAAGCUGAUAUUGCUGUACUAGAAGAACCUGAGCACCUAAACUGGUAUCAUCAUGGAAAGCGUUGGACUGACAAAUUCAAUCAUGUUAUUGGUGUUGUCCACACAAAUUACUUGGAGUAUAUUAGGAGGGAGAAAAACGGGGCCAUUCAAGCUUUUCUUGUUAAGCAUAUUAACAACCUGGUCACCAGAGCACAUUGUCACAAGGUACCAUUUUAAUUAUCCUUUGUUGUUUCUAGUUAACGUGCGAUAGUUGCAGUGGUUUUUUUUGUUGUUUGUGAUAGUUACAUAUCUUGUGGACAUAUUCUAGGCUAUAGUGUAGCCUGCAUCUGGUCACCACGUGAACUUGUGUGCUGCCUAAUGAUUCCAAUUAGAGGCAUAAAAAUCCCUAUUCGAUUCAAAAUGCCAUAAUUACAAAGGUGGACAUAUUAGGAGGGAUGAAGUGAGAAUACAGAGGCCAAAUUAGGCACAAAAGACAAAACUACUAAGCAUUUGUUUUACAUGUUAAAUUUCAUUUAAAUUAAUUUAAAACAGAGGAUGCGACUCGGGGAGGUAAAAUUGGGUUGAAGGCCAAUCCUACCCCAAAACUACACAUGAAACUCGUCUGCGCAGUCCAAAACUGCUGUGGCUUAGUGGGCAGUGCUCGACUGACACGGCACUCCUGAUGCAGACAAUGACUUGUCCUUUUCUAGGGCAUUUAGCAAUGAAAGAUCUAAUAUAAGUCCCUUUAACUAUUGCAGGUCUUGCGUCUUUCUGCAGCUACGCAAGAUCUACCAAAGUCCGUCAUUUGCAAUGUCCAUGGUGUAAACCCAAAAUUCCUUAAAAUUGGCGAGAAAAUAGCAGCUGAAAUGGCGCGAGGGCAGCAGGCGUUUCCCAAGGGGGCAUAUUUUCUCGGGAAGAUGGUGUGGGCGAAAGGUUACAGGGAAUUGAUUGAUUUGUUGGCAAGACACAAGAUGGACUUGGAAGGGUUCAAGAUCGACUUAUAUGGAAAUGGUGAAGAUUCACAUGAAGUCCAAUCCGCCGCCAAGAAGUUGGACUUAAAUGUUAAUUUUCUGAAGGGAAGAGAUCAUGCUGAUGAUUCUCUUCAAGGGUAAGGAAUCGAUAUGGCAUGGGAAAUCAAUAGGUUAAAGCCAUAAGAACUCACUGAAAGUUUGAUUUUGUGCGAAAGAAAAAAAAAAGCAUUUGGUUGACGAAAUUUGAUUUGGUUUUUUUAAGAAAAGGAGAACUCUGAACUCACCGUAACAUCAAGUAGUUGUUGAGCUUUUGUACCAAACCAAACUAUUUGAGCCAAAUUUGAAGGGGACAAAAAGUUGGUGGGGUGUUGAAUUGAAACCAGAAAAUCUAUGUGAAGUUUUAUGAUUUUACCCAAAUCAGAACAUACCACAUUUCCUUUUUCUUCAAAAAUUAUGAUUACGAUUACUUACUCCUUUACUGCAUUUUCAGGUAUAAGAUUUUCGUCAACCCAAGCGUCAGUGAUGUCCUAUGCACCGCGACAGCCGAGGCCCUUGCUAUGGGCAAAUUCGUCAUCUGCGCCGACCACCCGUCGAACGACUUCUUCAAAUCCUUCCCAAACUGCUUAACCUACAAAACAUCAGAAGACUUUGUCGCGAGAGUGAAGGAGGCCAUGGCUCGCGAGCCCCAACCCCUCACCCCUGAGCAGAGACACACCUUAUCGUGGGAGGCCGCGACCCAGAGAUUCGUGCAGUAUUCAGAGCUCGACAAGAUUUUAAAUAACAAUGGGAAACAAACGAACGGUGUAAAAAGAUCGAUUCCGAUGCCGACUUUGUCGGAGGUUGUGGAUGGGGGACUAGCAUUCGCGCAUUACUGUUUCACCGGUAAUGAGAUGUUAAGGUUGGCUACAGGGGCAAUACCCGGCACGCGCGAUUACGAUAAGCAGCACUCUAUGGAUUUGCAUCUAUUGCCUCCGCAGGUACAGAAUCCUCUAUAUGGCUGGUAGUGUGGUAGAUACACUUAUGUGUGUAUAUAUAUUUUGUAGCGUGUAAGUAGUAUUCAUUAGUGAUGUUUAAGUGCUUGUGACUGUUCCGUGUAAAUUUGGUGGUUGUUGUUAAUCUAGUCAAUUAAAAUGUAAUGUAAAUUUUAGCAAAUUUUUUUCUUUUUUUUUUUCUCUCCUUUUUCUACUUCUCAAGUUACGAGUUGGGAAUGGUACACACGCAGUUGUGGUGCAGGUAAUCUGUAAUGGACACUUAUCAUCGCUCUUCAUGUAAUGUACCUACCUCUUAUCAAGAGAACCAAUUUAUCAGAUCAAUGCGCCAUUUAUUUUCGUUGGGCAUUUUGUUGAACCUUAAACACUCUUCGUCUAAAGACGCAAAAGUGUGUUCUCACUUACCAGGACCAUUAUCAAACACCUUGGAAGCAAAACAAUGUACUGUUUGAUAAAUUUUUGAAACAAAUAACGAUGUGGGACUAAAAGGGAAUUGCGUUAAAAAAUUGUUUAAAAUAAAGAAAAACUAAAAUUAUUGGCCCAUGCAGGUCUCGAACCUGCGACCUUCGCGUUAUUUGCACGACGCUCUAACCAACUGAGCUAAUAGGCCAAUUUAUGAAAUUUUAAAACGUAUAGUUAUACUAUAGAAUAAAUAUUUUUGAACAAAAUUAUUUUGAACAAAAUUAUUUUGAACAAAAUUAUUUUGAACAAAAUUAUUUUGAACAAAAUUAUUUUGAACAAAAUUAUUAUUUGUAAAGUUGGUGUAUCGACUUUCAUAGUUUUCAUAUAAUAAAAUUGUAUAGUCUAAUAGCAAUUAUAGCACCAACGUCUUUACUAAUAACAAUUCAUUCGUUCUACAAUUAUUGUAUCAAAAAAGGAAAAAAAAUAUUAUUUUAGUUAAGGAGAAUAAUCUCCAUGCAAAAAAAAAUUAUUUUAGCUGAACCAAAAUAGUGUUGAUACGGCAGCUUGAUCAUAUUCGGUACAUUUGUUACGGUAAUAAUAAUUGUUUUUAGAGAGAUAGAUAGGAUGCUACCCACUUCAUUUAUUUCUUUUAGAAAUAAACUUAGCUGAAAAAAUAAAUCAACUGUGAUUCAAACUUGAGACCUCGGAUACCAACCAUUAAGCUCUUUGCCACUUGCGUCAGGGACGGUCCGUAGUAAUAACAAUUUUGAGUUUUUAAUAUCACUAUCUCAAUCUAAAUUGAUUAACUUGUGGUACUUGUAGAUCCUUAAUUUCUUUUCUUUUUUUUUACUUCUACCUACGGUGUUGGAUCAUUAAGUUUCCAAAAGCUUAAAUUGUUAAAAUAUUGGUUUUAUUUAUUCGUUGCAUCAAAUAGAAUUUACUCAUCAAUAUUUUCAAGAUAAUUGUCACUAAACUGGUGUUUUAACGUGCAUAUAUAAUUUCCCCCUUGAGAGUUAAUUAUCAUACAAUAAAAUAUAUCAUCACACAAUUUAAAUAUGUGUGACAACAUUAUUUAAGACCGAUCGCCCCUAGAGUAGGUGACAAAAGACUUGGGAGUUGAUACUCAAAGAUCCAAGUUCGAAGUGCAGUUGUUUCACAUUUUCAACUAAGUUUUUUUUUAAAAAAAAAAUAAACGAAUCUGGUAACGUGUUAUCUGCCCCUCUCUCUCUCUCUCUCUCUCUUAAAAAAAAAAGAGAAAAAGGCAACACCACUUAAGAAUUUAUAAUUAUUAAAUGACUUAAUUUCUCUAGAUGCAAUUUUCUAAAAAAGUACAAUCUAUAUAUAAUUAUCCAGCUAUAGCUAUAUGUUGUGUCGACAUUUUCAAUCAUAAACUAGGACAUUGUGAAGUGUUCUCCUCUAAAACUAAUUAUUUGUCACCUUCUACAACCUAGUGUUUGGCACUCUAUAUUCUCAGAGCUAUUUUGUGUUUUCAUGCAAAGUCAAUAUAGUUACAGUAUAUGUACAUUAAUUGACAUAUGACAUCUCAAAUCUACAAAGGAAGGUUCAAUUAUAGUUACAGUAUAUGUACAAUUCUACAUUGAUAUAUGACAUCUCAAAUCUAUAAAGGAAGGUUCACUAAAAAAAGAAAAAAAAAGAAAAAGAAAAAGAAAAAAAAAAAAGUUCUAUACAUUAAACAAGGGUUUUCAAAUUUGUUAACGAGCUAGUACUGCUAUAUACACGAAAUGAUGCUUUUAAAAUUUUUCAUAAAUUUCUUUUUAAGAUUUUUUUUUUUUUUGUUUUUGUUGAUUCGUAAAAAGUAUAAUUGAAUAUAUAAUUGGUUUAAUUAGUCUCAGUGUAAAAACUGUAUCCUUUUAUUUUAAUAAAACGGUCGUUUCUAUACAGUAGCUGAGCUAAAUUGCUGUCACGACUUUUAAAGCUGGCACCAUAUUAUAAACAAAUUUAUCUAAUAUUUUUUAUUUUUAUACUUAGAAAAAAAAAAGUUGGCACCAUCUAGUUUAGGUGAAAUAUUAUUAAUUUAUUAAAUAGGCGUGCAAACAUAUAUUAUUGGCCUAAUCGAGUUGUGGCCUUUCCCAAUCUACUAGAACCUUUACAUAAGGGACAAUUUUAUUUUUAUUUUUAUUUCAUUUUUAUUUGUUUAACCUUUUCCUUUUUACGUACACUGACAAAAAGCUGUUCCUCGCAAGUACAAUAUUCUUCUUGUGGUAUUAUAAUACUAUUUAAAAAAUUACACUGUUGAUAAUCAGUGAUAAAAUAUAUAUAUGUUUUUUUUAAAAAAAUUGGGUCAUUACGAUUUCAAAACUAUGUUUCGAUUUCUCAAAGUGAAGAAAUUUGGUUAUGACUGUUUAAUUUUAAAAAAAAAAAAAUUAAAUUAGAAAUAUAAAACAACUAGGUAUUGAUCAACAUUAGAAUUUUAAAUAUUAAUCAUCAAAUUCUUAGUUAAUUGUGUUACAUACGGACGUUAAAUAAUAACAACUUAAUUAAGAACGAGCAAAAAAAUAUUAAAAGAUAUCUGUAUUAAUUAAAAUUCUCAUCACUAGCUAGAUCUCAUACUUAAGGCUCAGAUACUAUUACAUAAAACCUAUGGACGAAGAAAAAGGAAAUAAAAAACUAAAACCUACUUCCAUGCACGUACGUGUAAUGGUAUAAUAAUACAAUAAUAUUUAAGAAGAUGAUCGAUCCCUUCUAUCAACUCUCAAAAAACAAACAAACAAAAAAACAAAAAAUAUGACCACGAAAAACAAUCUCUUCAUGUAGAUCAAAAUUAAUUACUCACGACACUCGACAACGUUCCCCUUCUCAACCUCAUGAUCAAACGUGAUCGUCGAUGAAAGCGUCGACAACGGCGAACCAGAAUCCGAACCCGAACGCAAACCCGAAAUUAACUGCGAAACCGAAAUAGAAGAAGCAGAAGCGGAAGCGGAAGCGGAAGUGGAGACUAAGCUCACGAGGAGAUCCACGAAGGCCCCCACAAUGAAUGCGUGCGUUUUUUGACCGUUCACUUUUAAAUACCACGUGAGCAGUUCCUCGAGCCCCUCCCAGUCGCUAACCGCAUGCGCCACCACCAUCUCCUCCAUGGACGCACGGAAAUCUCUAUACGGGUCCGUUGACUCCACGAUCAACGCCACGCUCUCCUCGAACGGCGCGCCCGCCGAGUCAGCGUUGACUUCCCCCUCCUCCUCCUCCUCUCUCUUCUCCAUGCUAUUGUCUACAUCGUCGUUGUCGUCGUCAUCGUUGUUGUUAUGGUUGUUGCGACGUGCGUGCACAAUGGACCGGGUCGUGGCGCCCGGUUCGAAGAAGAGCCGGUCGGACCGGACCCGGACCGGGACCGGGACCAGUGCUUCGUGAGUCGGGCCGGGGAGUAGGCUCUCGGUGUCAUCGGAGGCGGUGGAGUAGGCGGUGUUGUCGUAGACCGAGUUUGCGGUGUUGUAGAUGGAGGCGGCGGCGGAGGCGGCGUGGGCGCGAAAGGAGUUGGUUUUUGGGUGCUUGCAUGAAGAAGGCCAUGGCCAUGAAGAAGGUGGAGGAGGGUAGCAAAAGUAGUAUUUGUUGUAAGAGGAGGAGGAAGAAGAAGAGGAGGAGGAGGAGGAGGAGGAGGAGGAGGAGGAGGAGGGUCUUGGGUUGUCUCUUAGCUUGAAGAGGAGAGAGCUCAAGCCCCUCUUGCCCAUUAAAAAUGGCUUCUUCUGCUUCUGCUUCUAGCUUUGGAUUAGCUUGUGAAGGAGAUCGAAAUGGAGGAGGUGGUGGAAGUGGAGGAGGAGAGAGUGGGAAUGUAGAAAUGGAGAGAGAGAGAGAGAGAGAGAGAGAGAGAGAGAGAGAGAGAGAGAGAGAUUAGGUUAGUGUUGUUUUGAUGGGGGGUUUUGUAUUUAUAAAGGGAGAGGACGGUGGAGGGGAGGGAAUAGCUAAUGAGAGAAAGAGAAGGGGAUUAUGGGGAGAGUGGGAGAAAUUCUUGCAUGGACCUGGUUUACCAUGUCAUCGGUUGACUGGAUAAACCCUCAUUUGCAUCAUUAUGUUCUACUACACUAUACUAUAGUUUUUCAUCUGUUAAAGAAGAUAACUUUUAAAUAUCAAAAAACUAUAGUUCGAUUAAGUGACGAAGAUUGAUUGGAAGAAGCACUACAAGACAAUAUAAUUAACUAUACAAGAAAAUAUAAUUACCACCUAUCACUUUUUAGUUUUUUUUUAAGUUAGUCUUUCUGCUCUUGUCGAUCUAUUCUUUUUCUUGACUUUUUACUGUCAUCGAGAUCUUAUUUGUCUUACUUCAUGUAGCUAAAUUUAUUUCUCUAAUGAAUAAAGCAGAUAGUGUGCUAUCUUUCUCUCUCUCAAAAAAAAAAAAAAGCAGACGAAAUUAUAUGACAAUGCGCGCGAUCGAACAUGACGCGUAAUUAUUGAGAAUUCAAAAUCGAUGUGAUAAAAAGUAAUAUGUUUAAUUGAUCUAUAAAUUGAUAUAUGGCUAAACACAAGAUCCAUAUAUGUUUGGUGGACUAUGUACACACAAUUACAAUUCUCAUGUAAGCAUUGAACAAAGUGAUAUAAGGGGUGGAAUAACCCCUUAACCCCCAUUUUAUCCCCAAACGCUCCAAAAAAUAGGUGGGGUUAGCUAACCCUACCUAACCCCACCUCAAAUAAAUUAUUCCGGGUUAGCUAACCCCACCUAACCCCACCAAACUCCAACCAAAUACUAUUUUCUAUUCAUAAUAACCCACUAUCUUUUUUAUCACACCUACUCCAAUCAAUCAUUAUCCUUCUUUAUCAAUCAUUAUCUUGUUAUCCUACCUACUCCAACCAAACACUAUUUUUUAUUAUUCUAGAUUAACUCCAACCCCCAACCAAACAUAAAAAAACUUUAACUCCGAACUUAACUCUAUCCCUAGAAUAGCUAUUUUUUUCUUAACCCCGAACCAAACGGAGACAUAGAGAAUUCAAUUUCUCAUUUAAUAAACGCAUUGAAUGUUGUGUGCAAAUGGAGAGCAGUGAUGUAGUGUUCCCUUUCCUUGUGUUUGUUUGGAAAAGUCUCAUAUGUUUGGCAAGAAUUGGAAUGAUGGGGAGUUGAUAAAUCAAUCUUAUCAUGUUCAGGCUCUCCACCACUUUGGUUUUUAUUUCACUUUUUUUAUAAGGGGAUUGCAAUAUUUAAUUAAUUAAGUCGAUCAUCUUUUAAACAUACUAUAUUAAAUAAAAAAAAAACAAAUCAUUUUGCUUUGCAAGUUACUACUAGCAUUUGGCAUGCUUGUGUAUUUCACCUGACACAUAAAAACAGCAGCAAAAUGUGGGACGGCUUCAACUGCAUACAAGAACAAAAUUUGAAUUUAUAUACAAACUGUUGGAUGUGUGAUUUGCUCUGAUACUAAGGGGUUGUUUGGUUGUAUGCAUUUCCAACUGCAUUGCAGUUGGAAAUGCAUGCAUCUAUUAAUUUUUUGUUUGGUUUGGUGUAGUUAGACCGAACUGAUGCAGUUGCAUCUGCACGAGAAGGCCCAACUGCAGCAGUUGGUACUGCAGCCAAAUUGACCGUAGUACCAACUAUAACAGUUGAGCCGGAGUCGGCUCACCCAUUAAAAAAAUAAACAAAGUGUGAUUUUUUUUUCAUACACUUCUUUUUUCUUUUUUUUUUUUUUCAAAAAUACAUAUUCAUUUAUUUUGAACAAAUUCAUAAUAUAUUUACAUUUAAGAUUUAUUAAAUUCAUAUAUAAUUUUAUAAUAUAUAAAUUAUAUAUAGAUAUAAAAGUUUUAAUUAAUAUUUAAAACAUGAUUACGUUAUGCUCAGAAGAGGUAAUCUUACAUUUCUAUAUAAAAAUUGAUAGAAUUUACAAAUACAAAUCUCAACUGCAGCCUACCAAACAGAGGAAAUGUAACCGCAGCAGUUGCAACUGUAUAAAACCAAACAGACUAGGUGUAGUUAUAACUGCAGCAUUUGUAACUGCAUGCAUUUCCAACUACACUGUUUCUACAACUACAUCCAACCAAACGGCCCCUAAUUAGUGAAACUGGUAUUUGUACUGAUAUCGAAUAUAUAAUCCAAAAUUUAAAUAAAACAAAAUAAUAUAGAGAAGAGAUAUUGUGCGGAAAGGAGAAAACUAAAUUAAUACUUUAUUAAUAAAAAGUAAUUAAUUACAUUCUGUGCAACACCCAUGCAGCUAUGUCUACUGUGAUUUUUUCAUCUAAUUAAUCCAUACCUAACUAUAUAUACCUAUCAAGUCCAACUUUUACUUUGGAUAAUUAUAAAUCCUAUUCUAAUUAUGUAAACUUUUAAAUAUAAUCAAUGUAUAAAUUGAAUAUACUCGUAGUUGAGAUGGGUUAUUUUCGGAAGUACGAAUAAAUAAUAUUGAAACAUAGCGAAAUUUAAAUUAUUUUCAAAAGAUUUUAAAUCUAGUUUAAUAAAUGAUGAGUUGAAAAUCUUAUCAUCAAAAACAACUACAUUCCUGCUUCUAAAAGCACUCUUUCUCGUAUACAUAGGACAACAACCUAUUCCCAAGGAGAUGUCACCAAUCUUAGCACUUAAUUAAUUAAUCAUCAACAUUGCUUUAAGAUUCGAACUUGUCGCUUUACGUAACCAGUUAAAUUAAUACUAUGUGAUGGGAGUGUAUCUUUGGAGCAAGUAGCUAGUGUGGCUUUUUCGAUGCAACGAAGCAAAAGAGAAUCCAAGGGAGCAUGAUAUUCAUUUCUUAUGGUACACUGUCUCUAGUUAGGUAUAUAUUUCCUGUNGAUAUGUUGUGUCGACAUUUUCAAUCAUAAACUAGGACAUUGUGAAGUGUUCUCCUCUAAAACUAAUUAUUUGUCACCUUCUACAACCUAGUGUUUGGCACUCUAUAUUCUCAGAGCUAUUUUGUGUUUUCAUGCAAAGUCAAUAUAGUUACAGUAUAUGUACAUUAAUUGACAUAUGACAUCUCAAAUCUACAAAGGAAGGUUCAAUUAUAGUUACAGUAUAUGUACAAUUCUACAUUGAUAUAUGACAUCUCAAAUCUAUAAAGGAAGGUUCACUAAAAAAAAAAAAAAGAAAAAGAAAAAGAAAAAAAAAAGUUCUAUACAUUAAACAAGGGUUUUCAAAUUUGUCAACGAGCUAGUACUGCUAUAUACACCAAAUGAUGCUUUUAAAAUUUUUCAUAAAUUUCUUUUUAAGAGAUUUUUUUUUUGUUUUUGUUGAUUCGUAAAAAGUAUAAUUGAAUAUAUAAUUGGUUUAAUUAGUCUCAGUGUAAAAACUGUAUCCUUUUAUUUUAAUAAAACGGUCGUUUCUAUACAGUAGCUGAGCUAAAUUGCUGUCACGACUUUUAAAGCUGGCACCAUAUUAUAAACAAAUUUAUCUAAUAUUUUUUAUUUUUAUACUUAGAAAAAAAAAAGUUGGCACCAUCUAGUUUAGGUGAAAUAUUAUUAAUUUAUUAAAUAGGCGUGCAAACAUAUAUUAUUGGCCUAAUCGAGUUGUGGCCUUUCCCAAUCUACUAGAACCUUUACAUAAGGGACAAUUUUUUUUUUUUUUUAUUUCAUUUUUAUUUGUUUAACCUUUUCCUUUUUACGUACACUGACAAAAAGCUGUUCCUAGCAAGUACAAUAUUCUUCUUGUGGUAUUAUAAUACUAUUUAAAAAAUUACACUGUUGAUAAUCAGUGAUAAAACUUUUUACGUAAUUGUAACUAGUUUAUCCAAAUAUAUAUAUGUUUUUUUUACAAAAAAAUUGGGUCAUUUCGCUUGCAAAACUAUGUUUUGAUUCUCGAAUGGAAGAACUUUGUUAUAGCUAAUCAACUGUCGCAUUAUUUUCGUGUCGAAUACGAAUCAUUUCGAAUAUGUUGUUCAAUAUUUUUUUUUUGAGAGAGAAAGAUUGUAACGUUUUAAUUUAUAUUAUUUAGAAAUAAUCCGAGUUAGAAAUAUAAAACAGCUAAGUAUAAAACUUGAAAUUUUUAAAUACUAAUUAAUCAUCAAAUUCUUAACCAACUAUGGUAGAUAUGGUCGUUACAACACGUGCAAGUUAAUUAGGAGAGAGUUGUACAUGUGUUAAUUAAAAUUCUGAUCACUCUCACGCUUAAGACUCAGGUACUAUCACAUAAAAUCUACUAGCAUCGAAAAAGAAAAAGUAAAAAAAAAAAAGAAAAGAACAACGCCUACUUGUAUGUUCGUAUAAUGAUAUAUAAUACAAUAAUAUUUAAGAUGAUCGAUCCCUUAGAUCAACUCUCAAAAAAGGAACAAAAGAAAAAAGAGACCAAGAAAAACAAUCUCUUCAUGUAGAUCAAAAGUAAUUAUUCGCGACAACCAACCACGUUAUUCUCCUUCUCAACCUCGUGAUCAAACGAGAUCGUUGAUAACGGUGAAUCCGAAUCUAAAUCCGAACCCGAAAUAGCAGAAGCAGAAGCAGAAGCGGAGACUAAGCUCACGAGGAGAUCCACGAAGGCCCCCACGAUGAAUGCGUGCGUUUUUUGACCGUUCGCAUUUAAAUACCACGUGAGCAGUUCCUCGAGCCCCUCCCAGUCGCUGACCGCAUGCGCCACCACCAUCUCCUCCAUGGACGCACGGAAAUCUCUAUACGGGUCCGUUGACUCCACGGUCAACGCCACGCUCUCCUCGAACGGCGAGCCCGCCGAGUCAGCGUUGACUUCCCCCUCCUCCUCCUCCUCUCUCUUCUCCAUGCUAUUGUCUACAUCGUCGUUGUCGUCGUCAUCGUUGUUGUUAUGGUUGUUGCGACGUGCGUGCACAAUGGACCGGGUCGUGGCGCCCGGUUCGAAGAAGAGCCGGUCGGACCGGACCCGGACCGGGACCGGGACCAGUGCUUCGUGAGUCGGGCCGGGGAGUAGGCUCUCGGUGUCAUCGGAGGCGGUGGAGUAGGCGGUGUUGUCGUAGACCGAGUUUGCGGUGUUGUAGAUGGAGGCGGCGGCGGAGGCGGCGUGGGCGCGAAAGGAGUUGGUUUUUGGGUGCUUGCAUGAAGAAGGCCAUGGCCAUGAAGAAGGUGGAGGAGGGUAGCAAAAGUAGUAUUUGUUGUAAGAGGAGGAGGAAGAAGAAGAGGAGGAGGAGGAGGAGGAGGAGGAGGAGGAGGGUCUUGGGUUGUCUCUUAGCUUGAAGAGGAGAGAGCUCAAGCCCCUCUUGCCCAUUAAAAAUGGCUUCUUCUGCUUCUGCUUCUAGCUUUGGAUUAGCUUGUGAAGGAGACCGAAAUGGAGGAGGUGGUGGAAGUGGAGGAGGAGAGAGAGGGAAUGUAGAAAUGGAGAGAGAGAGAGAGAGAAAGAGAUUAGGUUAGUGUUGUUUUGAUGGGGGGUUUUGUAUUUAUAAAGGGAGAGGACGGUGGAGGGGAGGGAAUAGCUAAUGAGAAAAAGAGAAGGGGAUUAUGGGGAGAGUGGGAGAAAUUCUUGCAUGAACCUGGUUUACCAUGUCAUCGGUUGACCGGAUAAACCCUCAUUUGUAUCAUUAUGUUCUACUAUACUAUACUAUAGUUUUUCAUCUGUUAAAGAAGAUAACUUUUAAAUAUCAAAAAACUAUAGUUCGAUUAAGUGACGAAGAUUGAUUGGAAGAAGCACUACAAGACAAUAUAAUUAACUAUACAAGAAAAUAUAAUUACCACCUAUCACUUUUUAGUUUUUUUUUAAGUUAGUCUUUCUGCUCUUGUCGAUCUAUUCUUUUUCUUGACUUUUUACUGUCAUCGAGAUCUUAUUUGUCUUACUUCAUGUAGCUAAAUUUAUUUCUCUAAUGAAUAAAGCAGAUAGUGUGCUAUCUUUCUCUCUCUCAAAAAAAAAAAAAAGCAGACGAAAUUAUAUGACAAUGCGCGCGAUCGAACAUGACGCGUAAUUAUUGAGAAUUCAAAAUCGAUGUGAUAAAAAGUAAUAUGUUUAAUUGAUCUAUAAAUUGAUAUAUGGCUAAACACAAGAUCCAUAUAUGUUUGGUGGACUAUGUACACACAAUUACAAUUCUCAUGUAAGCAUUGAACAAAGUGAUAUAAGGGGUGGAAUAACCCCUUAACCCCCAUUUUAUCCCCAAACGCUCCAAAAAAUAGGUGGGGUUAGCUAACCCUACCUAACCCCACCUCAAAUAAAUUAUUCCGGGUUAGCUAACCCCACCUAACCCCACCAAACUCCAACCAAAUACUAUUUUCUAUUCAUAAUAACCCACUAUCUUUUUUAUCACACCUACUCCAAUCAAUCAUUAUCCUUCUUUAUCAAUCAUUAUCUUGUUAUCCUACCUACUCCAACCAAACACUAUUUUUUAUUAUUCUAGAUUAACUCCAACCCCCAACCAAACAUAAAAAAACUUUAACUCCGAACUUAACUCUAUCCCUAGAAUAGCUAUUUUUUUCUUAACCCCGAACCAAACGGAGACAUAGAGAAUUCAAUUUCUCAUUUAAUAAACGCAUUGAAUGUUGUGUGCAAAUGGAGAGCAGUGAUGUAGUGUUCCCUUUCCUUGUGUUUGUUUGGAAAAGUCUCAUAUGUUUGGCAAGAAUUGGAAUGAUGGGGAGUUGAUAAAUCAAUCUUAUCAUGUUCAGGCUCUCCACCACUUUGGUUUUUAUUUCACUUUUUUUAUAAGGGGAUUGCAAUAUUUAAUUAAUUAAGUCGAUCAUCUUUUAAACAUACUAUAUUAAAUAAAAAAAAAACAAAUCAUUUUGCUUUGCAAGUUACUACUAGCAUUUGGCAUGCUUGUGUAUUUCACCUGACACAUAAAAACAGCAGCAAAAUGUGGGACGGCUUCAACUGCAUACAAGAACAAAAUUUAAAUUUAUAUACAAACUGUUGGAUGUGUGAUUUGCUCUGAUACUAAUUAGUGAAACUGAUAUUUGUACUGAUAUCGAAUAUAUAAUCCAAAAUUUAAAUAAAACAAAAUAAUAUAGAGAAGAGAUAUUGUGCGGAAAGAAGAAAACUAAAUUAAUACUUUAUUAAUAAAAAAUAAUUAAUUAUAUUCUGCGCAACACCAAUGCAGCCAUGUCUACUGUGAUUUUUUCAUCUAAUUAAUCCAUGCCUAACUAUAUAUACCUAUCAAGUCCAACUUUUACUUUGGAUAAUUAUAAAUCCUAUUCUAAUUAUGUAAACUUUUAAAUAUAAUCAAUGUAUAAAUUGAAUAUACUCUAUCUCUAACUAAAUUUUAGAUUAAGUUUGGAUUACUAUUUCAACACAUAUAUUUACGUAGUUGAGAUGGGUUAUUUUCCGAAGUACGAAUAAAUAAUAUUGAAAUUAACAUAGCGAAAUUUAAAUUAUUUUCAAAAGAUUUUAAAUCUAUAGUUUAAUAAAUGAUGAGUUGAAAAUCCUAUCAUCAAAAACAACUACAUUCCUGCUUCUAAAAGCACUCUUUCUCGUAUACAUAGAACAACAACCUAUUCCCAAGGAGAUGUCACCAAUCUUAGCACUUAAUUAAUUAAUCAUCAACAUUGCUUUAAGAUUCGAACUUGUCGCUUUGUGUAACUGGUUAAAUUAAUACUAUGUGAUGGGAGUGUAUCUAUGUAGCAAGUAGCUAGUGAGGCUUUUUCGAUGCAACGAAGCAAAAGAGAAUCCAAGGGAGCAUGAUAUUCAUUUCUUAUGGUACACUGUCUCUAGUUAGGUAUAUAUUUCCUGUUCCUGUGGACAAGAAAGGUUUAAUCUAUAGCUAACUGGGUUUAAGUUAAUUAAUUAAGUCGACUUAUACAUGUAUAUAAUAGAUUUUUUAUACUAAUUAAUCCUUUGUGCUCUAGUGGGUCUCCUAUAGGCUAUAGCUAGGUGUUGAGUCGGAGCUAUACAUAUAUUUUUGGCUUUUAUCAGUGCUUUUAUAGUAGUGCUACAAUAGAGCGAUAUGACUAAAAAUUAAUAUCAUUUCAUUGUUCAAUUUAUAUAGCUUCCAUUAUUCCAUCAUUUUGGAGAAAGAUCAGUAUAUCUUUUACGUCGGAGCUAGCUUCUACUUUUAAGUUUUAACUGUUUACUUUAAAAACAAAAUUAGAUAUUUUUUUGUAUGUUCGGUAACUUCUGUUCUAAUGCCAAACAUAUGAUAUAUAGAAAGAUGAUGAGGUCAAGGACAAUAAUUUUGAUAUUUUCUCACUAUUCUUCUCUUAGGAACAAUACCCUGUAAUCGAAUUAGGAUAUAUAAAUAUAUAUAUAUAGAGCUGGAAUAGUAUCGGUAGUAAAUAGGCUCCGUUGCCACCAAUUUAUUUUUGAUGAUGGAGCCUACAAAUCGAUGAUCGACACCGUUGAACAUAAUUUAUACCAUUGGAAGCAUCUAGAAAUCAAUUUUUAUUUUUUUUCGUUAUUGUUUUGUUAUCCAUCAAGUUGACUCAAAAAUGAACGGCUGAAAAUGAAUAUCAUUUAAAAAGUGUUGAUAGAAGUUUUGUAAUUAAGAUUAAGAGUAUAGAUCUUGUUCUAAAUAGUUUAAACAAUUUUCUAACAAAAAUUCAAUUGAUUUGGAUAUCUAUACGCCGUUAAACGAGAAAACGUCUUAUAUCGACUAUUAAAAUUGUAAAUUUUGAAACUCUUUGAUCAUUAGGUUAAUGAUGUCAGAAAGAUUUGAAAUUUGGUUUUUAGAUACUUCGAGUGGUAUAGAUCAUGUUCAACGGUGUCGAUUAUCGAUUUGGAGGCUAGUACAUCAUCGAAAAUAAAUUGGUGGCCGGCAACGGAUCGAGUCCGUUUGUUACUGAUAGCAUUCCAGCUUAACUCUAUAUAUAUCUACAAUAAUCCCCAUGGCACCUACACAAUAUUGUAAACCUAUAUAUCUAUCUUAAUUGUUAUUCAAAAUGUUCCCAGCUACAUGUAGCUAAAGUUCAUGUAGCUUGCAUGUGGCCUUAACUUCACUUUGUUUCUCUUUAAGCUUAAAAGCUCUUUUAGUUUCUUUUUAUAAAGUAGUGAUUAGAAUCUAGCUAUAUAUGACAAUCCUUUCUGUGCCUUUAUCUUGCUUUUCUACAACUACUACACAUGCAUGCAUGCACAGUAGUUUUUAAUUUCUCCAAGCUUAGGGUAUGGAUAGAGAAAAUCUUAAUUAUCAUAAUCCUAAAAUUAAUAUGUAAUUAACAUGCUCCUCACAGGAGAUAAAUACUGUUUGUUUUACUUAUGGAUGCAAAAGUAUUAUUCAGUAGAGAUAUAUAUUCAAAGAAAUGCAAAAGUUUUUUCACUAUUUUUUUUUAAAAAAUUGUAUUUCUAUAAAAGUAAAAGUUUUAAAUUUAAUUUUUUUUGGUUUUGGUUCCUAAAAUUAAUAUUAUUAUUGCUUCCUUAAUUCCCUCAUAUUUAACCAAAAUUUCUUAUUCCUUUUUUAAAAAAAUUUGCUAGGUUCGGUAGCAGCUCCUAUAAGGAUCGAAUCAAUUAUAGAAGUCUUGUUUAGGUAAUUAAAGAGUUGUAUGUAUUAGUCUCGAGACGUCUCAACGACAAACGCACUAAUUCGUGUUGUUUAUAAGUGAUAAUUAAGGUGAUUUAAGGGGAAAAGAUGCUACUAAUUAAACUUAUUUUUCUUUUUUUUUUCUUGCUAUUUGCACAUGCAAAGUUGACCACUGAUUAUUUUUUAAUACUACACUUCUUUCGGAAAAGCUUAGUAUUUGGGCUUUAAACAAAUAUUUCUCAUCAAUUACUCCCUAAAGUAGUCAUAUACAACUAAUAUAGUAGUGACAUUUAAACGACCUUUUUAACAAGGAGACCAUGAAUUUGUGGCUAUUGCACCCAAAAACACGCGCAUUUGUAUGGCCUCUUAUUGCCAUUUUAAUAUUUUAUGCAUAUUAUUAUUAAAUAUAAUUAAAUUUUGCUAGGUUUGUCGACAGUUUAAGGGCCAUUUUUUUUAAAAAAAAUAGCUACAUAUAUAGGAUUUUAUUCUCUUUGUUGUUUGUUAGUGGUGCAUGAAGUUUCUCCAUGUGUUUACUUAUUUGGCUUCUAUUUGUCAACCUCUUCUCAUUGUGUGGUUGCAAAAUGAGGGAGUUGUGUGUAGAGAUAUAGAGAUAUGCAAAUUAAUAUUAGGUUUCAAUUAACCCAAAAUUUAAAUCAAACUAGUGCAAUUAAUUUCAUAAAAACUUUAAAAGUUUUGAUUUUAUAAUGUAAGUUUAGCAAUAUAUAUAAUUUAAUAGAAUAUUCCGUCACGAAUCUUGUAAAUACUUUUAAGUUUGGAUGGCAAAAUCAAAACUUGUAAAAUGUAAACGGCAAAAAUUAAAACUUUUAAAAUUCCACUAUUUAUCUCACAUAAGGCAUAUGGAUUUAAUGGCCCUCAAUGGGUUUAAGUGGGUUUAAGUGGGCUUAAUCAAAAUGGGCCUUUAAUGGGCCGGGUCUAUAAGCUUUAAAGGGUUUUUUGGACCACCAAGCCCAAUAGUAAAUAAUACUGUACCCGGUGCAUUUUUUUCUUUUUGUGCACCACAUCGAUUGGACGGUUUCGAUUGAAAAGCAUGUAUGAUGAAGGUCUAAUAGGGCGCGGUUUACAAAUGAUUCGGUGAACCAGGCGCAUCUAAUAUUUACAACUGUCAUACGAUCACCAAUAGUUUUCUCCUAUUUCGAAACGCGGGGGUUUAUACUCCUCGGAUCGAUCGAUGCUGAGAUAUAGAGGCGAAGGGGGAGAAGAGAACGACGAUGCGAUCAAUCUAGGGUUUCAUUGAUUCCUUCAUUUCGCUGCUCCUCCAUCGAACAAGUAUGAGAUAUCCUCUCCAAUUUUCUCCUCUAUUUUUCUCUUUUUUUCCGCUAAUUUUGGAGUAGAUUAGGGUUUCAUUUGUUGGAUAUGUGUGGUUCCUCUGUAAAUGAGGUGUAUCGGUUAGUGUUUAGUUUGGAUCGGGUUGGUUUAGAUGUUUAGGGUUUGGUAGAUUCUACUUGAUAAGCUUCGGAUGGAUUGCUCGUAAUUUAGGUGAUUUAGGAAGUUUCUGAAGAAUCACAAGGUAAUGCAUGCUGAUAUUUCUUACUUAGUUUGAACUCUUGUGGUAUAAUCCACCAUUUCCUGGUAAGUUUUAGUUUAUUUUUUAUGAUCUGUAUUUAUUUGAGAUUCCUGAAUGAAGCAGUUCAAUUCAGCUGUGUAGUAAUGCGAUUUUAAUCUCGUGGCUUGUAUUUUCCUUAUAUAUUUUAGGGAUGAAGUAUUUGAGAGUGAGAUUAAAAUUAGACAGUUGUUUAGACAAGGAUAUGCGAAUUUGAAAAGGAUAUAGAUUACGAAUGAGGAGUAAAAGUGUUAAUUUGUUUUAAUUUGUUAUGAUCAUUGGUUGUUAGCUUCAUUUGAACACUUUCAUAACCGUCGUGUUGGUCUACUGAUGGAUAAGUUGAUAAAAUAUAUAUUCUCACCUGUAGUUUCAAUUUUCAACCGAGUAGCUAUUUUUUUUUCAUGCUUUCUGUCCAUUGGUAGUGCUAUUUAUGAUAAUUUUGAUAAUUUUAAUCUAUUUAGUCAACUUCUGAGGUUACGUUAUCAUGAGCUGUUUAUAUUGAAUACAUGCUUUUGGGAAAAUGUCUCAAUUAUAUCGUUCAUGGACUUCAGCUGUUAUCUGAAAUGGUUGUGUUCUGUACGAUUUGAAUUCAAACAAGGCUUUUUUGUUUCUACCUGUAUUUAGGGCUUGUUUGGUUCAAGGGUGGAAUUGGAAUGGAUAAUGGAAUGAGAAUGAAUUGGAAUGGUAAUUGGAAUGGCCCACUCCCCCAAGACGUUUGGUUUAUUUGUGGAUUGGGAAUUGGAAUGAGUUAUUCACAUUUCAUUAUUUGGUUCGUAUAAACUAAAAAAAUUAUAGGAUACUAGAAUGCUAAUUUUACUCUCAAAUAUAAAUUUAUAUUAUUUAAAAUUUAUGAAAAAUAUAAUACUAUUCUCUAAUAAGUUUUCCAAAAAAAAAAAUCAAAUUUAUUUUUAAAAACUUUUAUUGAUGUGGGUUAGGGAUAGGGUUUUGAGAGAAAAUAGGUUUUUUUUUUUUUGAUGAGAAAGGGGUGAAGAGAAGGAAGGUGAGAUGGUCACAUGGACUUCGAGAACUUAGUGGGCUUCCGGAAUGAAAUCUCAAUCCGGGCUAGAAGACCGGAAUCAAGUUGAAGGCUAAUGGGCCAUUCCCAUUCCAGUCCGGAAUAGGAAUUCCAAACCGAUUCAUGCGAACCAAACAAAAUUAACCGGAUUUGAUCAAACCGAUUCCCAUUUCAUACCCAAAAUGGAUGAACCAAACAAGCCUUUAGUGUAAACAGCAUUGCUUCUUUA
Molecule: long non-coding RNA, 86672 nt
Filed under: Ananas comosus (pineapple)
Lineage: Eukaryota; Viridiplantae; Streptophyta; Magnoliopsida; Poales; Bromeliaceae
Description: long non-coding RNA (ACOM_LNC031018)
Rfam family: tRNA (bases 8836-8909)
Source: RNAcentral